UUUAAGGCAAGACUGGAAAGAUAAACACAGUUAUUCAGGGAAAUGGGGAGGGAAGAGAGAGGGGUGUUCUAGGCAAGAGGAAUAGCUUUCCAGGAGAGAUGGGAAAGAGGGGUAAACUGCAGGGAGUGGAGUGGUGGCCCAUGGUGAGGGAAUGGAGUGUGAGUGAGAAGUCUGAAGAUGCCUGGGCCUGGGGACCUUGGAAGACAGGAGGCUGGACUGUAUUCUAAGAUCUGUGGGAAACCACCAAAAGAUUUUAUUCAGAGAACAGUGUGACCAGAUUUACAUUUUGGAAUAUUUGCUUUGACAGCUCAGAUCAGAAGGAAAAGACUGGCAAGUGUUAGAAGAUAGAUGUGGCCUAGAAUAAAGAGGUAUAGUGGAAAUGGACGUGUGUGAAAUUUAGAUAUAUUUAGCAGACAAGUUAGUAAGUGAUUGAUUGGACGUGCGAGGAGUCGAGGUUACUCCCAGGUAUCUGGAAGAGAGGAAGAAGAAGGCCAAGCAAGAGGAGAACUAGGACAUGUUUGCUAGAAGUGUCCAUAGGGAGUCAUUAUGACUUUGGGGAAAGAAACUUCUGGAAAUAAGCUGCAAAUCAGAGAGUUGAGGAGGGAGUUGGAGAGGAAAUGAGUAAAGACAGUGAAGUUAGCCUCUUUUUAUAGAAGUUUGGCUUAAGGAUAGAAUGAUGAUAUACACGCUGGCCUGGUGGGUGGGUGAAGGGGAGGGAUAAUAAAAGAGAGGAGAGUUUUGAGCUUUGAAUCCUGCUUGGAAGUAGCUAACACAAUAGAGACACUCAUGUUAAAAUUUUGUGAGGAAAGUGGGGAAGUCCGUGCGAUAGAGGAUUGUGAGAAUGGAUGGGAUCCAGAGAUGACCUUAGCCAAGAGGACUAGUACCUCUUCCAUUGUGACAGAAGCAAGGGAUGAAACAGUUGGUGUUAAUGAUUUGUUUUGUAGCACAGUUAUUUUAACUAUGUUCUUUUAAAAAUCUUCUCCACAGACACUACCCAAAGCAGUCCUUCACCACAGUGGCAGAUACACCUGAAAAUCUUCGCCUGAAGCAGCAAAGUGAAUUGCAGAGUCAGGUAAUUUCUGAAAGCUCUAUUUUGUGUAUAUUGGUAUAAAAGAUUAUUCUAACGGCCACUCUUCUAAAAUUUUUGUCAUUGUAUUAUUCAUGCCAGUCACCAGCCAGCAGGGUGACUGACAGCAGGCCUGUUUGGGAAUUCUGGGUGAUAGUAUUGAACAUCUGUAUUGUUCCUAGUCUUGGAUCAUCUUGAUAUUGUUGGUUCUGUUAUUCACUUGGGACUAGAGCAGAUAAAUGAGUUCUGGUCAGAGUAAGUGUUUUCCAACAAUAUUGAUAUAUUUGGCCCCAAAUAUUUAAAAACAUUUUAUAAAUAGCUUUUCCACACCGCAUAUGUAGGGAAAACACAAGGUGUUAACUUGACCCAAUUGCAGUGCAUGUGGGGCUAACACCCCGUCUGUGUAUCUCACACCAGCUACUAGCUUUGUUUUCAUCCUGUCACUUUAUUCAUAUUUUUUUCAUAUGUCACAUUGACAGCAUGAACAAAGAUUAGAACACCACAAUUGGCUCCCACUCAACCAUUUUGGAUGCCAACUUGCCUUCAAUAUGGUGAAGCACAUCGGCUAAGACUAGGGUUUAGAAUGGCAGGGUUUCCUACAGGGACACUCAAUUGCUUUAAGAAACACAGGACAUUCUUUCAAAGAAGGGACCUUGCCUGACAAGGUACGGGAAGAUGGGCAACAACUUCAUUUCAGUCCAUUGAUCAAUGAUAUAGUAAAGCCACACCAAGGAAGGAGGAAGGAAAGCUGGAUGGUAGGCCCCCUUCAGCUGUUCUUUAGUUGUGGCCUUGGGGCAGCUGCCCUGAUUCUUUGUGCUUUUGUAAAGUAAAAUGGUCUCUGUUGUCUACCUGCCUUGAGGUGGCUGCAAGUAUCAAAUGGGGGCAGUCAGGCGUGAAAGCAUUUUGAAAAGUUAAAAAAAAAAUUGUGACUGGAGAGUCUGAUGAUGGUUUCUGAGAAUUCCUGGUGUGAAGAAGAAAAAGCAGAACAUAUGAAUAGAAAGGUGCCUAGUUAAUAGUCUUUGAAAAUGUCAGUCUCAAGUUUUUCGUGAGAGUUAUUAGCUUGUAAUCACCAAGAAUAAAAUUAUUUCCUUGGUGUCUUAAUCACAGGGGAGAUUGUGAUUCCCUUCCUUCUUUUUCUAUGGAACUUGGAGCCAUUUCUAAGUCUAUUCAAUUACAAAAAAUAGAACUCAAAGAAGGAGACUUGUUUGGGAGCCAAGGUUUGUUUUUCGUAAAAUACUAAUUGUUAUAUUCUAAGCCAUUACUUCUAAAAAUUAAGUGCUGGUCAAAGAGAUAUACUGUUAUGGAGGCCAGCAAGGAUUCCCCUGCCCCUUUAUGCUUCUGGGAGUACCACAACUUGGUUCCAGUCUGUGAAGAUCCAUGUGCCUUUCUUCCAUAUGCCAACUUAGCAUUAAUCAGAAAAUUCUAGGUAAAUACUUCAAACAUAUUCUGGUACUGUGCAAAAUAAUUUAUAAUUAGUUUAUUCUCCCUUCAUUGAGUCUGUAGGGCAUUUAUAAAAAACAAGAGCACUAACACACCUGGAAUGACUACAUUUAAUUGAAUGACUACUUUUAAUUGAAUUCACAGUAAGAACUUGGAAAGGGAGGGAUGUGUGUGGACUGCGCUGGGUAGAGCUUCAUGCUAGAGGUGGGGAACCCUUACAUGUUCUCUCUUCCUUUAUUUUUCUUUCUCUUUUAUUCCCAGCCCUCCUUCUCUUUGAGAGGGUCAUAAACACUACCAACAGUUUAUACCUGGGGGCUAAAUCUUCUCAAGCUUUGGGAUCCAUGUUAGGUACCAGGUUGUCAUGAUAGAAUUGUAUCAAAUGAAAGAAUAAACAAGGACACACCAAAGUGGAGUCAUGAAGGUUGAAGAGGAUUUUGGUGUAAACACUGACUCCUUCCUUUUGAAGGCACACGCUCUUUUCAGGCCCAUGAGUGGUUAGAGGUGCUUCAGUUCAGCUCAGAGGCAAGGGUUUGUUGAUUUCCUACUAUCUAUGUUUGGAAGCGCAAUGAAAAAAGGAGGUCAUUGUUUUCUUAAAGGUUGUUUUCAUGAUUCCCCAUGUAGCAAGCUUCAAACUUUGCAAGCCACCAUAUGCAGAUACUUCUAGUUGGUGGGAGAAGAGGUAAGAGAGACAUAGGCAAAGUAUAUGGGGUCACCAGCCAGUGGUCAGGAGAAGGCACUGGAGUCUCUUUAAGAUUUUGCUCCACGUGGACAUGGUGGCUCAUGCCUGUAAUCCCAAUUACUAGGGAGAUGAGGCAAGAAGAUCCAAAGUUGGGGCAAUGUAGCUAGACCCUGUCUCAAAAACAAACAAACAAACAAACAAAAACCAAAAAACAAAAAACAAUCAAAAAACUAAAAAGGGCUGGGGCUGUAGCUCACUGGUGGAGGACUUGCCACAUAUGCUCAAGACCCUGGGUUUAAUUCCUGGUACUAUGGGGGGGGGGAGAUAUUUUGCUCAAAUAUGAUCUUUAGAAAGAAAAUGUAAAUGUCAUCAAGGAGGCAAUAUGGAGAAAUUCUGUUCACUUCAAGAAACAUGAAUUGAUUACCUAUUAUGCACAAGGAAUCAUGUUGAACACGGCAAUAUAAAGACAUCUUCAACAGCCUUUUAUUAUUGCAAGCACAUGAUUUUUCGUGUAUUAUUUCAUAUUUCAUCAACUCUCAAACAAACCUACAAGAUAUUUAUUACUAUUUAUAUGUAGAUAAAGAACUCAAAUUUUGAAGAAUUUAAAUAACUUGCCCUUGCAAGCUUAGCUGGUAAGAAUGUGAACUUGGAAUAGAGCCCGGAUCUGUGAACCUCUGUUGUCCUAAUUGUUCCCUGGUCUUGCUGCCCAGAAAAAGCCUACAAAUGGAUCAAUAAGGAAAUUAUUGCAACACAAGGGAUGCUCCAGUGUAUUUAAAGGUAGGAUUGAUCAUAAAAGGGAAGUAUGAAGAAAUCACUGGUAUUUUUUUCUGGAUGAGAGGUUAUACUUCAAUAAGAGUAUUUCCAUUUUCGCAAAAGAGUGGAAAGAUAGCUUUCCUAAUGGUAAUACUCAGUAAUGGCACUUGAUCUAAUUUUAGCCCAUUGUAUGAUUUGAUUCUGCAACAGAUCAUUUCCUUAGAGUGUUGAUAUCUAGAAUUGUGAACAGCUCACCAGUUGGGGUAGAGAAUUGACUAUUCAUUCAUUUUUUAAUAUUCCUUGUUUUGGUAAUUUGUGAUGGCACAUGAAGCAAAUAGGUUCAUAGCUCCCAAUCUUCAAAAAUCUUGACAUCUUUUAGAAUUAUUUGGUUAAAACUAGUUCUCUUCUCUCAGUUCAUUAGUUUACCAAAUGUGCAAAUAGGGUGGAAAAGCGAAAAUUAAUUUUCCAUCUACUUUAGAAUGUUGUUUCUAAUCACACAUUGUUAUUUCAUCCUUUAGUUUUUCUUCCUUUUUUUUCCUUCCUUCCCUUUGAGAGGGUCAUAAACACUGGAAGUAGUUUAUACCUAUGUGCUGAGUCCUUUAAAGCUUUUUUUUUUUUUUUUUGGAUCUGUAUUAGAUGCUACAUUGUCAUAGUAAAAUAAUAUCAAAUACUGAAGAAUAAAGCAGCUUCCAGGAGUUCGUUUUUCAGAACUGGUACCAGGCAGUAGCGUACAGGCCUUUGUCCAGCUCCCAAACAACUUUUGGACAUCUGCUUGGCCAGCUACUGACCACAGUGGAUGUGGGCUGCCCUGGAACUUGGCCUUCAAGAGGAAUAAAGGGUGGGGAAGGCCUUUUAUCAUCACUGGCUCCCUUUUCAUCAGACAUCACAGGAUGAACUUCUUCAAAGAAAUAACUUCAAUGGUGCUUAGGAGCCCCGCUGGCCUGCGUAGCCCAUUCAACAAGAAGCAAAAGUGAAACUUCACUCCCAGUGGGAAUAAUAACAUCGUAGUUCACCUGUGAGGCGUCAGGGUUUUAUUGCUUUCUUUAGGACCAUUUAUUGCUUUCUUUGGGCCUAUUAUUAUUAUUAUUAUUAUUAUUAUUAUUAUUAUUAUUUUGUUGUUGGAAAGUGAGUCCAGAAUUUCAAAUUUCUGACUCACACAUGGAACUUUUGGAAUCCAAACUCUUUGUAAUUUGGGGAAUCCUUCAAUUUUAAAAACUCAAGCCAGAUGAAAAACCCCUUACAGUAGAAAUGUCCUUAGCUUGUUAUUCUAAUACACUGUUGUUGAAAGCAUUUCUUUUUCCAGGCUGCAUGGCACACACUCUUGGAAUCGAAGGCUCAGAUGUUUUGAGUCUUCUAAGUCAGGGGUCUGCCGAUUCCUUAAAGGCAUGGAAUUAGGAAUUUCAAGUGGAAGCCCCUCGGCCAACCUCCAGAAAAGAGAAUACCGUGGAGCUGUGUGGCUGACCGUGGGUGGGUGUGGGGGCCAAGCCCCUGCCUUCUCCACAUUACCCCUGCUUCCUCAUCCCAGGGCCUUUGGAAAUCCUGGGCCUCUGGAGGGGACAGUUUGGAAAACUAUUGCUCAAAAUGAAGAUGAAGUGUUAGCUGCUUCCCCACUUAGUUGUUUAUAUGAUUGGCUUAGCUGUUUGCAAUCAUGCUGAAAAUAAUACGGAUUGGGGAUUCUUUGUGUUCUUAAAUGGAUUGUGGGUAAUUUAUGAGUACAGAUAAGAUAAAAGAUUGAAGAUGAUUAUGGAUAAGAUACAAAUGAAACUAGGGCCUUUGAGUCUUUACUUUGCAAUCUGUGUUGAUCCUUUUUUAAUCUUGCAAGUUUCUGCAGAGGCAUAUAAAACAUGCUUUACAGGAAAUAUGAUCUUUGAUAGUGGUAAGGGUGAGAGGGUAACAAGAUUUUUUAAAAUAAGGAAGAUGAUUGUUAAACAUCUUCAUGGGAGGAUUGGAGACACGUGUUUAAUAUAAGCAUUUGGAAGUUCAAAAAUGAGGUAUUGUGGUGUGCUUGCCUUUUUCCUAACCCACCCUUAACCCCUUUCAGUAUCUCUUCAUUUUAUGUUCCAUUUUCAGAGGGUUUCUGCCUCAAUUAUCUGUCAUCUAACCACCCAGUAAGGUGUUAAUUACCUGCAGCAAGACCUCUGUUGGGUGGCAGUUUCAUUUUAAAGAGCAUCCACUGAAGCAGACUUCUUUGAAAGCAAUAAAUCCCUGACCAGGGACUGCAGUUACUAUCAGAUGAUGACUGGUGCACCAUUUUGAAUAGCAUCAUCUGUAUGUUUCAAAUCCCAUUUCCUGGUUCCUUACAAUGUCAUAAAUUAGACCUAAAUUGCAGUUGUCCCUGAGCACUGUGCCACAUUCUAUGCCAUUGGGGAUACUGCAGCGAGUGGAACCAGUCCCCUCAGAGGACUUAUGGUCUAGAGGGAAAGAGGGUGAUAGUAAAAACAACAGGGCUGGGGUGUAGUUCAGUGGUAGAGUGCUUGCCUGCCAUGUAUGAGCCCUGAGUUUGAUCCCCAGUAAUGGGGGAGGGGUGAGGAAGGAAAUAGUAGCUCUGAUAAGACCUGCAGAAAGAGCUGAGUGUAUGUUAACUUUGUUCUUUUGGGGGUACUGGGGAUUGAACUCAGUCAGAGGCACUAGACCACUGAGCCACAUCCCCAGCCCUAUUUUGUAUUUUAUUUAGAGACAGGGUCUCACUGAGUUGCUUAGUGCUUUUGCAUCACCUGUAUGUUUUUGCUUUUGCUGAGGCUGGCUUUUAACUUGAGAUCCUCCUGCCUCAGCCUCCUGAGCCAUAGGGAUUACUGGCAUGCUCCACCAAAGCUGACCUUAACUGUGUUUUAAUUUAGUAUUUUCUGGGAGUCGGAAGCCUGGUGCCUUUCUGCAGAUGGACCCAUCCUGGCAUCUCAGAGUGCUUUGCUGCAUCCUGCCCAGCCACAGACCCCAUUUCUUCAUGAGGGUGCAUCUUGCCCUUCGUUUCCUCAUCUUAGCUGACUCUACUCUUUGUUGGAUCCUCUUACUGUCCCUUGUCUCAUUGGGCUACUUCAGACUUCUAAACAGGAAGAUAGACUCUUCACAAAGUUUUUGUUGGUAGUUUUUAUGUUUCUGAGGAUCUUGGACAAGAAAAUGUUCAUACUUGCCUCUUAAUUUUCUCAUUCUUUUCAAUUUAAUUUUGACAGCUUUAUUGGUCAUGUCUUUAAAAUUUUUAUUUUUUUACCAUUUGUGGCUGUCCUUGCAGCCCAUGGCAAUGGGAUUCUUGUGUAUCUAGAGGUAAAAGUUCAUGGGAGAGAAUCUUCAGCAUGUUUCUCUUCAAGGUUUUGAGGCAGUGGAAAUGAUGAGGGAUUAUGUUUCACAUCUCGGAAGGGAUGAAUGUGAAUAAGAACUUCAAAGGAGAAAUAUGAAUUCACUCAAUGUGGUGCAUGCCGAGCAGAUGUUAACUCUAACCCCCACAAUUUCCCAGAAGUCAGAUUUCUUUUUUAUAUUUUACUCCUGGAUAAGAUGAUGUAAGAGACAAAAAUGUCAAUAGCAAGAGUCAGGAAGACAGCCAAGAUGUUUUGACUUGCUGUGUCAUGACUGGGUUUUAGAGCCUUUAAUCACAGGGGCCUGAAGUUCUACUCCUCACCCUCCUGAAAAGACCCAUAUCCUUUCCAUGUGUUUCCAGAGUCUCAACAAAGUUGGUCUCUUGAUUCUCUCCUGGCUCAUGCUACCUGCCUUUCCACCAUUCCUGCAGCUCAUGGUGAAGGGCAUGGAUGGGUAAGCUGCAGGUUAUUUGCUGCUAACAAGUAGACUGGAAUCAGACAACUGGCCCUGGAAUUAGGAAUUUGAAUACAAGCUUGUUCCUUCAUAUAUGUGGGGUCUGCAUCCACACAUUCAACCUACGAGGGAGAGAAAAUACUCAAAAAAGAAAAUGAUGUCUGUAUGGAACAUAAACUGGCUUUUCUCUUCCUCUUGUCACUUUUUCCUAAGCCACAGAGUAUAACAACUACUUACAUGGCAUCUACAUUGUAGUAGGUAUUAUAAAUAAUCUAGAGAUGAUUUAAAGUACAUAAGAGGCUAUGUUUAGUUACAUUCAAAUAGUAUAUCAUUUUAUGUUAGGAACUUGGACACAUGCUGAUUUUUGUACCCAUAGAGGUUGGGGAUGGUGCUGGACUUAAUCCCCUGUGAAUAUUGGGGGAUGACUGUAUUGUCUAUCCAUUUUAUGACUCUGAAGUCAUGCCUCUAACAGCUGUGAUGAGAAAUUAAAAAAAAUACUAAAUCAAUAUAUUUUUUCUUUCUCUCCCAUAAAUCAUAUUCUGCCAUACCACCUCAUUCAUGGCCCUAGAGAAAGAAGCUGAGUGAAUACCACUUUAGAAAGGAGGGAAUAUGGUCCCCUUAGAAAGGGAAUACCUACCCCAUAACUCCAUCUUUUGGCUAGGAUAGAUUGUAGGAAGAAGGCAGAAUAAUCAGAGACUGAAUCAAGACCACCCCUCUCGGCUGGCUGAAGUCUCAGAGAAGGAAGAUGAGGAGACUGUUAGGUGGAGGAACAAGCCCAAAGCAGAGAAGAGCAUCCCUGGUAGCCAGGAGUGGGCUGUGCAGCCCUGGGUUAGUUGGAUGGACCUCAGUGAACAGCAAAGAGGGACAGAAUCUACAUGGAAUACCACAAAGGCUCUUCUUCAGCCAAAAAAACCAUACCAUGAAGUCACCAGCCACAGUCUUCAGUGUCUGACACCAACAGGGUGUCCAGUGACUGACAAGAAAGAUACCACUGAAGGACACUUCCCACCUCCCUCUGGGGCCACCAGAACCCUCCCCACUCACUCACGUUUGGAAGCCAUUUUGGAGAGGAGAUGGGAAGCAGGAAAAUCUGAAUUUACCAAGGUUGACUGUUUGAAUCAUUGACUGGACCGAUUUUAAUGCAUGAAACUAUGUUUAGUUCCUUCCACCUGAGUGUGACAGGGACUUGUGAGCAAUCGCAAGCAAUUAUAAGAAAUAUUCUUCAUUUUAUUUUGUAUCUGAAUACAUCGUAGGUAAAUUGCUAAUCUGUCACACACACUUUGAUUUUAUUUGGUAAAAUAUAGCACUUGACCAGUCAUCAGGAGAUCUGGGUUCUCUUCCCGCCUCUUCCACUAAGUGGCACUAUGGGCACCACUGACCUUUCUCAGGGCAUAAAAAUGAUGGGUUGUACUAGGUCAUCCCUAAAAUUCCUCCCAGUUUUAAUGAUCUAUUUUGUAUUUUAUUUAGAGACAGGGUCUCACUGAAUUGCUUAGUGAAUUGUUCGAUUUCAGAACAAAAAAUGUUCUGCAUAGCAUCUCAAGUUAGUAAUAAAAUAACUUGAGGAAAAGAAACCUUUAUUCUUUUCUGCCCAAAUAGUAAUAGCCAGACCUUGGGUUCCAUUCCACCAUUCCCUUAAAAGCUGUCUCCCUGGACUGGUCCUGGGUCUUGGCUGAAGGUCAUGAUCACUUAGAUCCAGAGAAGUUGAUAGACAAGUUAGUUUCACUUGGAAAAUAUGUCUAAUUUUGUACAACACAUGCUUAAAAUCAACAGAGGACCAAAGAAAAUAAUGUCCAUUCACUGAGAGCAACUAAUUCUGGUUUCAGUCUGGAGUCAAGAGAUCAAGCUGUUCUUCCCUGUGCCACACAUCUGUUGGUGCUGAGCACUGUUUUACAAGGAAUCACUAAUGAUCACUGCAGUAAUACAACUUUGCCCCAUCACCACACAAGUGAGUGGUGAAAACAGGAGAAAUGGCAAACCCUUUGAAAACCAGAGUUGAAGGCAAAAAUGCAUUUCUAAGUGUUCAUGUAAAAAUUUUAAUGCAGUGAGAACUGUGAGUCGUUUCACUUAUCUCAGUUGUAAAACUUCUAUAACUUAUAUUCAAGGUCAUGUGUAACAGGGCAUAUACCUUUCUAAAUUCUUCAGUAGAUGUUUUUGAAUUUUCUAUGUGGCAAUCACCAGAAUAACUGUGCUCUUGUUAUGCUUUCAGGAAAUCCCCACCUAUUUUAGUUUCUUUUCUUUAUGAAUUCUUAUUUUUAAGUUUGUUUUUCUUGAAUGGUUUUGAUUUUGAGGGGACUUUUGAACUUUAAAUGUUGGUCUUUACAGGACUGGGGAUGUAACUCAGUGGUAGAACAUAUACUUAGCAUGUAUGAGGCCCUGGAUUUGGCUCCUAAUACCACUGAGAUGAUAGAAAAUGUUGGUUUCUUCUCUUUAUAAUAUUUCAAUCUGUUCUUUAGCAGCCCCAUUUCCCAUUUUUUUUUUUUUUGUGGGGGAGAGUACUGGGGACUGAACUCAGAGGCACUCAACCUCUGAAUCACACCUCCAGUCCUUUUUUGAAUUUUAUUUAGAGACAGGGUUUCACUGACUUGCUUAGUACCUCGUGGUUGCCGAGGCUGGCUUUGAACUCGAGAUCCUCCUGCCUCAGCCUCCCUAGCUACUAGGAUUAGAGGUGUGCACCACCACACCUAACUCCCAUUUCCCUUUUUAGGAACAGUUUGUUUUGCUGAGUCUGACACUUCAGUUGAUUCCAUGGACCCAAACAGUAGCUCAAAGAUACAGAGCAGAUAAUCUAAAGCCGUCACAUUUUAUUAAAUUAGUAGGUGCAGGAGGGAAACUGAGAAUUUCUUAAUACUCUUUUUUUUCUUUUUUAAUUUUUAUUAUUAAUACUCUUAAUUAAUUAAGAAAAUAAUUAACUAAGAUUGAUGGAUCAGAGACUGAAGCAUGACCUCUCCUUUUUCUGCUGGUUGAUGUUGCCGAGAAUGGAAAUGAGAGAAGUGUAUCAGCUGGAUGGAAGAAGUUCAAGGCAGGUGUAUGGACUGCCUCAUCCUCUCCCGCUUCAGUGACAGACUUGGGUCCUGCACAGCAUGGUGGGCAGGGUGGUCCAGCUCAGGUGAUGAGUUGUAUUUCCCAGCAUCUUGGUUUCUCAUGUGGUGUGGAAGAUGGUUGAAGGGCCAGUAUUCCUUGGGGGAUGCCAAGGAUGCUUUCUGGGGAGCUCCCAGGAACUAGCCUUUAUUUCUGAAACUAUUUUUAGAAUGGAGGAUGUGGCUCUAAAACCACUACUUCACGAUGGCAUCAGGCCACGAAGCCAAACUUGAAAGAUGGUGGGUAUUGGAUUCAGCAAAGGCCUUUGGGGGCAAUAACUCUAAUGUCUACAGUACAUUUUGGAGUACUGAAUAUUUUGACUCUCAUUAAAGUCCAUAGGUGCGUGAGUGAUUAUUAUUUUAUUUAUCAGAACUUAUCUGGCCUAGUCAUCAUUUCACUUUUUCUUAAAGCUCUGUUUAGAGCUCUCACCUGACUUCAGAAAAACCUUUCAACUGGAAUUCUGUGGGGGGCUUUUUCAAGAAAUUCUCUGGGGAAAGAUGACUAUGGUAACUUCAUACUUUAAAACAUUUCCAUUCAGGAUAAUCAUUAUGGUGUAUUCUGAAACAGGACCUCUAUGUGGACUUCCAAGACUAUUGCUUGUACCUUUUUAAUGAGUUUUUUUGCAUUAAAAAAAUGUUCAAAUAGAGCAAUUAGAAUUUCCCUUCUUAUUUUUUGUCUUCUGGUGAAGGGUCAGGAUGAUGGCAAAUCAGAAAUGAAAGUAACACAAAUUUGAUCCUAACUAGUAUAGCAGUUCUGGGCCCUUUUUGAUUGACACUCUGAAUGUCUGUUUCGGUGGAUUUUUUUUUUUUUUUUGAAAGGGAAUCUGUGAUCUGUGGCUACCUUCUAAGAGAAAUUCAAGAAGUAUCUUCAGUUACAGAGUUAGCUUCCUCAGCACAUAGUACUGUUAGGCAAUAAAUAGCUAAUUAUACUAAGAGUCAAAUUCCAAAAAACCUGAAGAAUAGUGAAGCCAAGAAUCCUAAACUGUUUUAAUUCAAAUAAACAAUCUUUGAGCCCUAAGAGAGAUUUUUAAAAAUUUAAUUCUAGAAUGGCUCUAUGGCUCACAAACCAUUAAAAUUAAAACUAAAUUAAAUUUAAUUGUGUUUCAGCUAUUAAGAAUAUAUUAUUUAUAAGAUUUCCCUUAAAUUGGAUAAUUUGUGUCUGCAGCCAUCUACCCUGGAUGUGCCCGUUCCCAUCUGAUCUUGGAAGCUUAGGCAGGAUCAGUAAGUCCUUGGAUGGGAGAACAAGGUAAUUUCCAAGGAUCUGAAACUUUACAUUCUAGAGCAUUUAAUUCUCUACAGGAGUGCCACUUAAGUCUUAGGGUUAUGUGUGUGUGUCAGUAUAAUAUGCAUAUAUGUAGAUAUGCAUAUAAUAUAUACAAUAUGCAUAUACAUGUAUAUAUAUUUAUACAUGCACAUUCUUAUACAUGUAUGUAUGUAGCUAUGUAUAUUUAUAAAUCUAUGUAUAGUAUGUAUAUAUAUUGUAUAUAUAUUGUAUAAGAUGAAGGGAACUUGAAAAAUGAUUUCCAGAAGACUGAGAAAACAUGGAUACCUUUUCUCUUUUGUUAUCAAUGGCAACAUGUGCUUUAAUUUACUGCUAGUUUUAAAAACAGCUGCACUUUUUUUUUUCUUUACUGCAGUAUAAGUUCCCUGUCAAGUGAAUCUUCUUUGCAUGCAAUUCCUGUGUAUUUUAGUCUUUCCCCGUGUUUUAAGAAAUAGCUAAUGUGAGAAAAGUAUAAUAGAAAUACUGUUAUUUCUGGAAGUACGGCAAUGAGAUCUUUGCAAAAUAUCACCUCUUCCAGAGGACAGGACACCCAUCUACCACUUAAUAAUAGGCAUAAACGUAAAUAAAUAGUCUACCUGUUUGAUGAGCCUUAUUCUUUUUGUGUGGUUCGUCAACUUAAUGUUUUUGGAACGUCUGUUUUCAUCUCUGCCCUUUGUUUUAGAUUUUAACUAGAAGCUGGUGGUCUUGGUAAUUUAAUGAUUAUUAUUCAGUAACCCUGCCAAGCAAUCAUCAAAAUUAUAAUACAUCAUUUAAUGAUAAAAGGGUGAUAAUGUAUGAAACAAAGGAGAAAGAAUAAAAAGUAGUUUCAUGAAAAUCAGGCUCUUAAAAGAAUGAAAAAUUAGAUGUUUUCCUGAGAGGUGGACAGAUGCCUGAUCUUUCUUGGCACUAACUACAAAUGGAGAAAAAUCACAGCUUUCUAGAUUUCAAACCUCUGCUAGCCAAGAAAUCUCACCGAAGGCUCCACAAGCAUUUCCUGUAAUGGAUUCUGUGUAAAGCUGCUUCAGUUAUUUGUUGGUUUAAUCUACAUUCAUUGAAUGCCUCCCUCCCGGGACUCAGGGUGUGUGUGGAGGGGCAGCCAGUAGAGAUGGUAUGAAGUGCAGUUCAAGGAUAGGACUGGUUCCUGAUGUAUAUGUGUUGAUUUGGUCUCCUCAAGAGAUACUCUCUCAAAUUCUGAGAAUACUUUUUUUUUUCUGUAUCUCAUUUGGCGGCUUCUUCUUCUUCUUCUCCUUCUCCUUCUUCUUUUUCUUUUGGGAAUGACCUUUGUUUUUAUUUAUUUGUAUGCGGUGCUGAGAAUCAAAUCCAGUGCCUCACACAUGAUAGGCAAGAGCUCUAUUACUGAGCCAUAGCCCCAGCCCAUGGCUUUUUCUUCUUUAUAUGGUUUGGAUAUGAGGUGUCCUUCUAAAGCCUCUGUGUAAACGAAGGAAGUGAAAUGAUUAUUAGAUUAUGAGAGCUGUCACUUAAUCAGUUAACUAAUCCAUUUGAUGCAUUAAUUUGGGUGGAUUCCUGGGUGGUAACUCUAGACAGGUAGGGCAUGGUUGAAGGAGGUGGGUCACCAGGGGUCUGACUUGAGGGUGAUUUAUUUUAUCCCCGGUUCCUGGUGCUCUCUCUCUGCUUUCUGGCUGCCAUGAGCUGAGCUUUCCUCUGUCACACCCUUCUGCUAUGAUGCUCUGCCUCACGUUGGGCCCAGAGCAACGGUAUUGGCCCAAUCACAGACUGAACUUCUGAAAUUGUGAACUCAAGUUUUUCCUUCAGCAAGUUGUUCUCGUUAGGAAUUUAGAUCACAUUGAUGAAAAGUUGACUAAUAUACCUCUCAUCUUCCUCUGAAAUAUUGACCCCAUUCUUUGAGCCUCCUUUUUCUUUCCCUAGAUGGAUAUCAAAUUCUCUGAGAAGCUGUACUUUGGAGAAGACAUGAUUCUGUACCUAGUUUUGGAAGAAGCCCUUUGUAUUUUUUUGUUUUCCCUCCCUCAGCAGCUGUGUCUUUUAGUAAAUUAUUUGUAGAACUUGGUCCUUGUUAAAACAAUGGAGGUCAGACCUGUUUUUGAUUGCUUUGUGGACAAAGGAAGCCUCAUCCAAUAAAAGCCAUAUUUGUUGUUAUUUUCAGCAAAAUCAAAUUAUGCCAUCAGUAGUAUCCCAACCCUCUUGUCAUCCUCCAGACUGCACAUGGGUGGUUCCUAACCCUCUUUGGGUCAGGGAUCCCUUUGGAAAUUCUGUGAAAGUCAUGGAGCUUGCCCUCUGAGAAAAGUAGAGAAGUCAACUUUAGAAUAUGAGAUGCCAACUUUAGAAUGUAGUUUCUAGGGGUUCAAGGGAUAGUGAAGGCCUUCAGUGGUACCCUGAAGAUCCCCAAGCAUUAUGGGGAGUGGUCCGGUGGGUCCAGAGGCACAGGGAAGAAAAACUGGCUGGACUCACAGGCCUGGCAGACACUACAGACAUUGCCACAGAAAGAUGAUGUAUUUCCUGCUUUAUAAGCACAAUUUAUUUUAUCCUAAAUUAAAAUAUUAACUGUUUCGUAAAUAUAAUGUUAAACUGUUACUGCCUUUUUAAAAAAAAGUGAUCUUGUAGUGACUGUUAAAACUUAAAAAUACAGAUUCUCUUAGAUUCAGCAGUUCCACUCCUGGGUGUCUCUUUUGUAAAAACAAAAUCAUCAGCAUUGAAGGCCUGUGUUCAGGCACCUCUAUGAUAGCAUUGCUUCUAACAGCAAAAGACUGGAACCAGCGAGAAAAGGGGAGAGUGGAAUAUAGGAUGAUCAUGCAUAUGGCAAGUAUCAUGCUGCCAUUAAAAAGAAGGAAACAGCUAUAUCAAAUACCUUGAGGAGGUACCCAGAGAGGGUGAUUCAGUGAGAAUCAUAGAUGCAGAGAAGUGUGUGAAUGACAGAAUCUUCCCUGUCCACACACGUGUGUCUGUUUCUUUGCCUACAUGUAUCUGUCUCUUCUUAUGCUUAUAUGUGUGUAGACAAAAAUGUGGACUAAUAUAAUCUAGGUUGUUAACAUUGAUUUCUGGGGCAUAUAUGAACCGAGCAUAUAAAGGGAAAAAAAUCAUAAAAAGUAAACUACAUUAUAUAUAAUGUCUCUAUAUAUGUAAUGUGUGUGUGUGUGUAUUCAUUUAUUUGGGUGAGCAUAUAUAAAAGGAAAUAAUGAUUUCAAAAACAUGUUGCUUGUAUGUUUAGAUCCCAUUGUUUGACUUCUUUCACAGUCAGGGUGACACUGGAGGCUUACCAUUCAGGCUAGGAUUUGACUUGACUAGUUUGGCCAGCCUGAGUUCUUCCUAUUGACUUUUUUUUUUUUUUUUUUGGUACUGGAGAUUGAACCCCCAGAUGCUUUAUCACUGAGCCACAUUCCCAACCCUUUUUAUUUUGAAACAAGAUCUCCUUAAGUUGCUUGGGGCCUCACUGAGUUGCUGAGGCUGGGCUUGAGUUUGCUAAUCCUACUACCUCAGCCUCCUGAUUCGCUGGGAUUAUAGGCAUGCGCCACUGCGCCUGGCUCCUGUUGACUUCUUAGAUGGAUUUCCUGGAACUUAUUACUCUAAAGCCAUUCAGUCUGUCAGCAAAUGUUUAUUGGAUGUCUUUUAUGUCACAGAAUGAGGUUUUGUGCUGGGGAAUACUCCAAGAACUAAGAUGUGAGGUGUGUGUUUGCACAUGUCAGGAACUGUUUGCAUGUGAACUUAAUAUCUUUUUUUGUGUGUAUAGUGCUGGGGACUGAACCCAGGGUCUUGUGUAAGCAAUUGCUCUAUCACUAAGCUGCACUACCAGCCCUUUUUAAAAAUAUUUUGAGACAGAGUUGUACUGUGUCUUUGGAGGAUUAACCUAUGUCUAUGAGAUUGGAUACCUGGAAUCAUGUACUAUUGUCAUAAGACUCUUAAAAUUUUUACCACUGCUAAGGAAACUAAAUAUAUACAAGAGAAGUAAACGUGUAAUUCAGUUUUAAGACACUAAGGUAUUUAUUUGAGUCAGAAAAUAUACUUUAAAUUUUUUAAAAUAUUGAAAUGGCUUUGAAUUUUCAUUGUUUAAUUCAUUAAUGAUGUCUCUGUUUUAGAGGAGAUUUUAUGAAGAGAAAAGUUUUUCAGACAAUACUGUUGUUACCAAAUAUGCCUAAUAUAAUUUCUAAAUAUAAAGUUAGUGUAGGUCAGAUAAAGAGAUGAAUGGUUAAAAAAAGAAAACCCUGCAAUCCGAUGUUCAAAUUCAACUGUUGUUGACAUAACUGAGCCAAUCUAUAGAUGAAUUUAUGUAUAUACAUACAAGAGAAAAAAAUUCAGGUUAUAAUGCAUUUUAAUGCUUGUAACUAUAUGAGUGAAACAGAAAUUUGUACCCAUGAUACAUUUUUUUUGAUUCUUGAUUCUUUGAACUACUUUUGCUUUGUUUAUAUAUUUUUAUAAUAGAGAUAAGAACUGAAACUUUUUUUUUUUAAGUAUUUACAACUUAUCUCCUUUCACAUAUUACUUCUCUGGGAAAUGUAAAAUUUGAGAUUUAUAUAAAAUGCCAAAAUAAAUAAAACAAAGUUUAAUUUGUUUGAAAAUGAGUGGUUGUGCCUGUAUAGACAACAGCCUUCACUCUUCUCUGAUUCAGUGGUGCUGUCUGAGAACCUUUUAUCUCCUCAGCAGGAUAUACACAACCUAAGUCGAUGCAGGAAACCCAUGACAUCAUCCUCAAUCAAUAAUCAUUGAUUGAAGAAAGCUGGUCUCAGAGCUAUGCAUUAGGUACCAGGAGGGAAGCAGAGGGAAAAGUCACCAUUUCUGUCUUUGAAGAAUAAUCUGGCUCAGAAAAUAGUUCAAGUGUACAUGUUUUGACAUGUUUCUAUAACAAAGACCUUUUCAACUAACUAGGGAAAUCAACAUUAAAGUGAUUAAAGGAGUGAUUGUGGGACUGGCUAAGGGUUGGAGGGCAGGGACAAUUGUCCUGUUCAGUUGUCAGUAGGCAAUUGAACCAGAGACAAGACAUGAAGGAGACAUGAGCCAAAUCUAUAAAACUGUAUCCAUCCUAAAGGUGCCAGCUGGGUGUGAGAGGUCAGUCAGGUGAAGCUGUGCUCCUGAGAAUAGGAGAAACAUUAGUAGCAACAGCUGAUAUACUUGUCAGCUUUCCAUCAUUAAAAUGAAAUGCCUGAGAUAAUCAAGUUACAUAGAGAAAAGUUGUGUGGUUUUUUUUUUGGUAACAGGGAUUAAACUCAGGGCCACUAGACCACCGAGCCACAUCCCUAGCACAUUAUUGUAUUUUAUUUAGAGACAGGGUCUCACUGAGUUGCUUAGUGCCUUGCUUUUUUUUUUUUUUUUUUUUAUAAAGCUGGCUUUGAACUCACCAUCCUCUUGUCUCAGCCUCCCAAGAUACUGAGAUUACAGGUGUGCGCCACACGCCUGGUGAGAAAAGGUUUAUUUUGGCUUAAGUUUUGGAAGUUUCAGUCCAUGAUCAAUUGACUGCUUUGGGUAUGUGGUGAAGCAGCUUAUUAUGGCAGGAACACAUGGUGAUCAGAACUGCUUACCUCAUCACCAGGAAGCCAAAAAGAAAAAUCUUCAGUUUUUGGUGAGUUUCUGAUUUAAAGAAAAAUAAUUUCUAUAACCAAAUCCAAGUAGAUUUUUGAUCUGGUAAAUAUCCUACAGUUUGGGAGUUUGUAGGAUUUCACACAGUAGGUGGUGAAUAAGAGCUAAUGGCUGAAUUCCAGUGUUUAUCUUGCAAAGUAAUAUGCAAUUCUGUAUUUUUUUUUCCUGCAUAAGACACAAAGCUCUACUACAAUUAUUUAUGAAUAAUUUCACAUGACUCAUGUUGGUAAGACUAUUGUAAAUUAACAUUUAAAGAAGAAUGUUUCAUCAACCUUAAAAAAAAUGAAUCAUCCCUUCUUCCCACAUCAGAGAUUUUUCCUUCUUGUCUAAAAAGUACCUACUUCUUUUUAGAGGUUGACUUUUAGGUUGAGCUGGUAGUUUUCACCUCUGGAGAAGAAAAACAGAAUCAUGCUUAGAAAAACUCUGCUAGCCAAACAAAUCACCCUGAUUACUACAUAAGGAGAAAAGGAGCUUACUAUAUAUAUACAUACAUAUAUAUAUAUAUAUAUAUAUAUAUAUAUAUAUAUAUAUAUAUUUUGUGCAUGUUUUUAGAUCAAUGCAUAAAUGAGAAGGAAGUGAUACUGGAAAAAAAUGGAGAACCCAUUUGGAUUAUAUUUGGUGUAGUGGGUGUAGUGGGUACUUCAAACUGCUACCUAACAGAAGCUCUUAUUUUUCAUUGGAAAGCAAAACAAAUGGUUGUUUAAAAAAAAAAAAGACUUUUGAAAGAGGGUGUUGGCUUGUUAAGGAACAUCAAGCUUCUGCAAUCUGGUCACAUGUGGGGUGCUGUUAGUCACCUUCUAGUUACUGAAAAUUGGGUUUUAACAAUAAUGGCAUUAUUUUUCUGUUUUUUUUUUUUCUGGAGAAUCUAUGAUAGUGCCAUAUCAUACCCUGCAAAUUAUUUAUUUGGGGAGGCCAAGAAGUUAUGUCCUUCUUAUAACCUGGAAAAUUCUUCUAAUAUCUAGUACAUCACUUUGUGAGUGCUGGGGUUCCCAGCAGCCUGUCCUGGGGAAUGUGUGACCCAGGGGCCUACUCAACCUCUUCUGAUGUACCCAGCUUCCUCUAGUACUAUGCAGCUGUUCUCCCCAUGGGACCCGAUGACCUGUCAGCUUUUGGUUUCUGGCUGUCGGUUCCUAUCCCCUGGGGUAGGCAGUGGUUCCAGGCCUGGCUUUAGGCUUUCUUAUCCCUGACAAGCUCCAUCUCUCUGACACCUUUCCUGCAGUUUUCUGUAGAGAAAGUGGGAUGUAUAGGAACUAAUAGGGGAUCCUCUUUGGGUUCCAGAGGAAAGCACAGAGAAGCCCAGGAGUGUCAGAGUCAGUCCAGCAGGAGGGCAGAUCUCCUUAUUGGCUUGGCCACCUGGCCCUCUAUCUCUACUCUGAGCUUCCAGUCUUUCCUCUGUCUUUGGCUCCCAUGGUGGCCAUUCAUGGCCACCUGAUUGUGGCUUUCUUCUCUGUCUUCAUUGCAUUUGAUUUCUCUUUACUGUAUUGUUUUUCUUCCACAUCUUAGACUCCAACACAGCAGAGCACCCAGAGAUUUCAGUCUUUUGCUAACUGAGAGCUAUUUUGGCGUGUUGCUUUCUUGUUUUGGGUCCCUUUUAUCUGUUUGAAAUAAAUAUUUAAUCUUUAACCUUUUUUCUUUUUUGUACUGGGAAUUUAACCCAGGAGCAAUUUACCACUGAGCCUCAUCCCUGCCAUUUUUUAUUUUUUUUAUUUUGAGACAGAGUCUUACUAAGUUGCUGAGGCUGGCUAUGAACUUGCAAUCCUCCUGCCUCAGCCUACAGAGCCACUGAGAUUACAGGAGUACACCACUACACCCUUUAUCUAGAUUCUUACCUAGAUAAUAUUUUCUACAAAUAUUUUGUCCUCUCUUUUAUAAAUGCCAAUCUCCUGCUUAACUCAAAUGAUCAGGAAGACUUCUCUUCAGAUGUCUGUUACUUGCAGAAGGUCAGCAUUCUGCAGCUCUAUGUAGAAGGAGAGGAAGUUUGGCCAGAAAAAAACCCACUUUAAAAAAAUUUGUUUUAUACAUAACAGUGGAAUGCAUUUUGAUACAUAAAUGGAGUAUAACUUCUCAUUCUUUUGAUUGUACAUGAUGUAGAAUUAUACGGGUUGUGUACUCAUAAAUGCAUAUAGGAUAAAAAGCCACUUUUGAUGGGGGACAUAAGUAAAAACCAUCUCCCCAUCCUACAGCAUUUGACACUUAACCAUCCCUGAAACUGCAUCAUGGGGCCCAGCUGUAGCUUUUAACGUGGAUCAUGCCAGGGCACGUAAGCCAGUGCCGCAUGAUAAAGCAAUAAUUAACCUGCCCUGUGGUUUUCUGUUGUCCUUCUGCCUGACUUUUCCCUUCCCCUAGUGGCCAAAGUUUUCUGAAAGAGCAUGAUAUCACUGCCACAGGCCACUUUCCACCAUAUAACAAUUCAUGCAGCAGUUAGAACUCCAUUUUUUAAAAACCUUUCAUCAGAGGAGGAAGUACUUUAUAGUAAAUGUCUGCAUUGCUCGAGAUCAUUUACCCGUGGAGUCUUCAUUAGAUUCUUUAGUCAUUAUGGUUUGCAUCAUGUGAUCUUUUCUCAAACAUCAGCAGGGUGAACCAACGAUGAAAUUGCAUUUCUUUGAAUUAGAGUACAGAUGAUUAUGGGAGGAAAAAAGACAUUACAGGAAAAAUGUUCAUGUUUAUGUUUGAAUAAAUGUGGCAAGCUUCACAGCCUCCAAGACAGUUAAAGAAGUGUUUGUAUGAGACGUGGACUAAUGUGUCGCAUCACCUUAGCUGUGUCUCUGAAUGAAUGUGGGCACAGUGCUUGGACUCUUGGAUCCUGUUUAUAACAUGAAGCCUUAGACAUCUAACAGGUUUGGUAUGCAUUUCUUGUAGGGCUAGGAGAAUACAACAGCUCAUAGCUUUGAUUUUGUCUUAAGGCUCUAAUAUACAUUAGGCAAUCUGUAAAUGAUUGUUGAAAUAAACUGGAAUCUACUCAGAGUGCCAUCUACCCAUCACUUUUUAAUGCCCCUUCCAACCACCCCAACACACAUGGGGGCUUCUCUGUAGUUUUUGGUAGGGUAAAGGGUAACCCUAGGAUGAGAAAAAUUUUAGCAUCGCAGAGGAUAAGAAACAGUUAAAGCUUCAGUUUGGAAAAAGAGAAUUAUUACUUCCUAGGGUUUAUUUAGUUGGCUCUGACCCAAGACCUUGCUUGACCCUGAGUAUCCAGCAGCCCUUCACUGGUUCCAGAUGGCCAACCCUGUUUUGUGGUCAGCUCCCAGACCCUGUGGUGAGUGUGACCUGCUCCCAUGUUGUCCUGCAAUUGCAGCAGUGUCGCAGACCUCCUGAGCUAUGCACUAGAUAGACAGGAGUCCCUUAAAGGAAAGAUAAAGUGACGGAGUUAAGUGACUUCAUUGGGGCUGGUUGUGAAUUCAUAUUAUGGUUUUUAUAGGUAUCAGAUUUUACAUAUUGCAAAGUGUUAAAAGAAAAGCCAAUUGGAUUGUUAAUACAAUAUGCAGAUAGGAUAGUAUUAUUGCUUUGUGCUUUCUUAUAAUUUCUAUUUUUUGUCAUAGACAUCUGCUGGGUUAUAUAUAUGUUUUAUUAUGGUGUCAAGAAUGAGACAUGGAUAUAGCACUUUUAUUGUUCUACCAUUUCUUCUCUCUCUCUCUAUAUAUAAAGAUGGAAGAAAAAAAAAAAAAUAUAUAUAUAUAUAUAUAUAUUCUUCCAUCUCUUUUUUUUUUUUUUUAUCUUCAGUCCCGGUCCCUGUUUUCUCAGUGCUUCCUGUUUGUGAGAGCUCAGGCUAGUACCGAGACUUUGGAUUCUAGAUGGUGUGAGCAAAUGAUUGCAAGCAAUAUCAGAUGUCAUUUAGUGGAGGUUCCAGAUGAGCUAGUUAUUUGUUAAGGGCACUUUGUCCAGGGUCUCAUAUAAUCUUUACAACACCCUGCUUGGGUAAGUCUGAUUGUUCUUUUGUAGAUAAGAAGGAACCCAAGACUGAGAGAGGUCAUGUAAAGUGCCUGAGGCGCAAAGCUGCUCAGGAUUUUUUCCAAACUGGGCCCAGGACUUUUUGACUCCACAGCCCAAGAUGUUAUUACUUGGACAGGCUCACUGCAGUCAUUAUUCUGACAUUUCUGUGACUUUCUCUACCAUAUUGUAUCAGUGAUAUGACAUUUUAGGUUUAAAAAUGUUCCAAGAUCUUAUCAUUAGGUGAAAAUUUUAUAUUUGGAUUUUAAUAUUGUGAUUCCUGGUAAAUGUCCUAUUUUAUUUUAUUUUGGUGCUUAAAUUGAUUUUUAUCAUUCCUGAAAGUUUUUAGUACUUUGAAUUGUUCAAAUUAUGCACUUUUUGUUUGCAUGUCUAUUAUUUUACCCAAUUACCUAUUAUUUUAAUAGCUUUGGUAUUUUAGUAGUUUUAUCCAUCCUAAUUUGUAUUGAAUAAAUAUCCUCAUGUUUUUUGAGCUUAAUGAUUUUUAAAAUUGAGUUAUUUGUAUAGACUCAUGCUCAUACAUCUAAUUUUUCAUCUUUUUACUUCUUUAUAACACUGCUCAAGGUUUUGCCAGUUAUCAUAAAAUAAAUGAAAGAAGAACAUUUCAAAAAUGUUUUUACAAGUAAACCUGAUCAUACAAAGUACCUGGUUCUGUAGCAACUUGAUUUUUUGUGUAAUGACAUUUUGUUCGGUAAGGAAUUGUUAAUGCUUUCAUACAGAGUGUGUUACAGAAUUGGUUGCUAAUCCUAAACUCUUUACCUGUUAAUUUUUUUAAAACAAUUUGAUGUCUUUUUAUUUAUUUAUUUUUUAGUUGUUGAUGGACCUUUAUUUAUUUACUUAUUUUAUUUAUAUGUGCGCUGAGACUCAAACCCAGGGCCUCACACAUGCUAGGCAAGUGCCACAACUCCAGCCCUCACCUGUUAAUUUUUAUUGCCAAAUAUGUUUUCCCUCUCAUCACUUCAUGGUCUUUCUCUUCCAUGACUCCUCAGCAACCCAGAGCACUCAUUUGCCUUCCAGCUAUUCCCAUGCUGCUUUGGGGUGUGCUGAAGCUUCAGAGCAUCAUGAAUUGAAGUUUCUGACUUUGCUCAGCAUCUGAUUGUCAAGUGAAGUUACCUAGGGAGAAGCUAAUGUAGCCACUCAUCUGAUGGGUGCAGUUGACAGGGAACACAAGGAGUGCUCAGAGAAGGUUGAGCUUGGCUGCCUCCACUGGGCAGGGGUCACAGGAUGUGGGGAUUUUUCUCUGGGUGUGCAUACUUAAACGUAAGUGAGAUCUAUUGUCUGCAAGUACCAAAGAGGAUUUAAGGUAACUUUUAAUGAAAAAACACUAAAAGGACAUGUAUGAGUUUAAUCAGUAAGAAAAUAGAGAAGGAAGUGCUUCAGUGGAGGAACAGGGCUUUGACAGGUGGCAGGAAAGAAGAAAUGGCCCAGGAUAUUGCAGGUGGAGCUGGAAACGUGGUGGAUGGGUUGGCUGACCAUCUGUGGGCAGGUGACCCUACAGAAAAUCUAGAAGAGAUGAGGUGGGACUGCUUGUAGAGGACCUGGGUGGCUCACUAAGGAGGCUGGACUCCAACAUUAGGUGGAGACAUCGGCAAGUUCUUGGGCAGAAGAGUGAUCUGCUGAAACUGAUGUUACAGGAAGAUGAACCCAGCAGCAAACGGAUUUCUUGGGCAGUGAUUUGAAGUUAGGAGCCCAGGUAGGAAAUAUUUGCUGUAGUGAAAGCACACGAUAAUGAGAUAAUUGAGCGGAUGGAAGGGAAGGGAAGGGAAGGAGGACUCUGAAGGAGGCCCAUUUGGAGGAGUGAUUGUGUAUGAGUGGAGAAGGUGGUGGUGGCUCUGAAAUGUUCCCUGGAGGAACUCAUGGUUGGUAAACCAGGGGGAGGAACACUUAGGCAACGUGUCUGGGUACUGUGAUCACUGGUUUGAGGUAGGGGUUGUAUAAUGAAGUUGUGGUCACUUCCCUCUCCACCCCAGUCCUCCCUUGACAGUACCACAGGGAGAGGUGAAGGUCUCUUGUGAUGGUUCUAGACCUGGGCAACUGGAAUUAUUGUUAGGACAGUGGCCAGAGAUAGAAAGGGCAAGGAUCCUGUGUAGUUCAUUGUCUCUAUAACCCCACAUUUGUAAAAGUUUGAAUGAAAAAAAGAAAGUGAAGAAGUGAGUUCAGGAUCAGGUGUUCAUUUGAAGAGAUUUGAAGAUUAUUUAAGAGAAAAUGACUUCCAGACAGAUAUGUAGGAAAAGGUCAAAGAGUAGUGACCAGAGCUUUCUAGAACCAUGUUCUGUUACAGUAUAGAAAAAUGGAGUUUUGGAAAGAAAGUUUUUGAUUCAUGGGUAUGAAACCCAAGUUUUACAGAUUACACAUAAUGAGUUGUUAUCCAGUUUUAACAUUUGUUUUUCCACAAUGGCCAAGGCAUUGAUUGAUUGCACGUGCAUUUCAAAAUUGUUCUGGGGCUUACGUUAGAAAGAGAGCAGAGGGAAAUCUUAGCCCAAUAUGGUCCUUGUUACUUUGCACUAAUGUAUUGGGCGUUGGGGCUGUUCUUUUGAUUUGCUGAGCUUUGCCAUUAGUGUUGACACUGAGAUAUCAAAGGUACCCCUGUAAAAGUUCUGUUUUUAGGCAAUCAAGAUAAAACUUUUAAGAAGGUAACUUAUGCGGUUUAAUAGCUUGGUUAAUAAAGUUGGCCUUUAUGCAGUAUAACCCCCUGAGAACCAGUUGAAUGUGAAGGAAAGAGUGAGGGUUUCAGAGCAAGUUGAACUUGGAUUUCAAUUUGUCUCCACCACUUAAUAAUCUUCCGCUCUGGACAGGUUACUUAACCUCUCAUUUCACUUUAAAAUGCUGAUUUUUCUCUCUCAGAAGGUUAUUGUGAUGUUGCCAAUAGUGUUUGUUUCACCAGAUAUUCAACAGGCCUUGGCACUUCACGGGUACCUAGUGCAUGCUAACAUAGUUACAGUUCUCAGGUUACUAGUCUGUAUUUUUACAUCACUGUCCAUAGUGUUACUGAGGGGUAUUAAAAAUGGUGGCUGCUGUCCUUAUUUUGGAGAGUGGAAUGAAGAUUGUGACCAAAAAAUUAUUCUGGAAUUAAUAUCUAGAAGUUUAGUUUGCCUCACCUCCUGGGGUUUCCAGAAAUUUAAUGUGGGAGAAACUUUGAGGUUGAGUAAAAGAGAAUGAAUUCAUCCUGGGUUAAAAUACCAGCUCUGUCUUAUAGUCAUAUGACUUUGGGGAGUGCUUUAACUUUUGAGUCUGUGUUUGCAAAAUGUGCUUGUGGUACCAACAUUGAAUGGAUAUUGUGAGGAUCACUGGAGAAAACUUGUCUAAGGAAUUGAAGCCCAAGAGAGCCAGGAAUAGAUCUGGGGAAAAGUGGUUGAAAACAAAGCAGAAUGACCAGGCCGGUACUAAAUUUUUUAGGCGUUUCUGGCAUUAUUACUCCUGAAGUUCCAAAAUAAAAAAAGAGGGGAAGGAAGGUAUUACUUAUUGAUGGUUUUUAAGAUUGGUGAAAUUCUGAUUCAUAAAAAAUAAUGCAUUUGAUUAUGAAAUAAACUGUGGAUUAUUAAACAAUUUAUUAACUUGUUACCGAAAAUAUUUAAGGUGUAGAUAUAAGCUUGAGGGCCUAGAGAAUGAGUCUCAGGAAAGGAUAAGAGGUAAAGGUGUGCCAGUCAAUUCCUUCCCAUACCCACAUUGUCCUUUUCAGUAAGGGGGAUCUACCUUAUUUUUUUGUGGGGGGUGUGUGAAUGGUUAAAUUAGUGGGAUUUUAAAGUAUUGAAAGAAACCAAACAAGUGAAAUUACUUUUUAAAUCCACAGAAACCUUGGAAAAUCAUCAAACAUUAUACAUAUGAUGAAGGUACAUUAGUUUCUGCUUGUGUUUCAACCAGGAACAAGAUUUAAAAUCAGACUAUCAGGAUAAGAACAAACGAAUAAGAGUCUAUUUGUGCUAAAGACAGUUUGAAUGGCAAAUCUCAGUUGUGUGAGAAGACAUAAUCUUUUGGGUAUAUUUAAUGCAAAAUGGACUAAGUUGAGAAGGAAAUUGUUUUAAUAGCCUGGGUGUUGCCUGAUAAUCUUAAAGCUCUGGUCUUCAUAGUGGGUCACACACAGUGAUAAAAUAAACUGACUUUGUCUUGCUGUUUGUGAGGGGCAUCUAGAAGACUCCCGCCUUCCUAGGUUCAUGAAUAUGACUGACCCAAGAAUCCCUGGUUAGUAUCAUCUGAGUUAUGAGUUGGAAUGAGCAGUUCUCUGGGUUUUGCUGGUAGGAAUUAGUCGUGUAAAGGAAUCUGGCCUUGGGAGAAAGAGGACUGCCUUUUUAAGAUUAAAAAUGGAAGUGCAGUUUUUUUUUUUUUAAUAAUUUCUAAGGGAAAAAGCAUUAGUACUACCAAGGGUGAGCUGGUUGAGACAGCAGUGAGAAUUGCCACUCACAGCAUCUAGCUCCUUAGCUAGCCUUUCCCACUCAGAAAUAAUUAUUUCAAACUGAGCAGCAUUUGCAGAGAGUUCUGGAACAGCUUUGUCAGCUUUAGGAUGUGUGAAAACCGCUCAAGAAUAAACCGUAAAAGUAGAUUUUGGAAAUUAAAAAAAACAAAACAAAACAAAACUGACAGCUCUUCCAAGGAUGUUUUGAUGUGUAUGGGUUUAUUAACAACAGUUUACUAAAAUACAGAACAGGAAAGUUGGGACUGCAUCUGCUUUUUCCAGCCCCCUCCUAUGUGUCUUGCUCUGAUAGAUUUGUCUCCUCCGUUACCGUAGAGCUGCUCAUUGGUAUUCCUCAGUGUGAGGUGUUGCCAUGAACAUCCUCAUAAUUACAUUGAACUAGAGAAUCUUUACUUCUAGGCCUUGAUCAAGCUCAGGGGCCUUUUCCCUUUUAUGUGGCAGCUUUAAUUUUGUACAAAAAUGACAACCACCGUCCCGUGCCUUUUGUCUCCCUGGCAGGGUGGCCAAGCAGCUACCUUCGCACCUGAUGCAAUUACUAAUCUGUUGCCCUUCCCAAGAAGGCAGCACUGGCUGCUGUCCCCCACUCCAUGGGACUGCAAGCAUCAUUUUUUAUGUCUGUCCUGCACACAGGCUCUGACUGCCCUGGGCUUCUGCUCUCAGUUACCAGGAGGUAUUGUGCAUUUUUCAGAGGAGAAAAACCUUGCUUUCAAGAUCAUUCCCACUGUCCCAACUUAGGUCUUUGCUUCAAAGGUAGGGUGUUGCCUGUGCCCACAAUAGUUUCCCCAACCCAAGAUAAGUCUCUGUGGUUGCUCCCAGGAGAUGUGAUUGUAAAUGCAGGGCUACGUGCUAAUUACUUUCUUAGGCAUCUUGGUAUAACAGUGUGAGAAUUGGCUCUUCAGAAUCUGGUCAAUGAAACAAAAUUACUUUUAUCCUGAAUUUUGCAAGGCAAAAAAAAGACAUUAAAUUAAUUACAUUUGAAUCAUCUUCAUAUCCAUCAAUUACUGCAGUGAUUUUGGGGGCUUAGAUUAAUGUGUGUUGUAGAUGCAAUUACUCUCUUUUUGGAUCCCAUAGAUUAAAUUCACUGAAAGAUUCCCCUGGAGAUGCUUUAGCUGUACUUUGCCUGUAGCUUCUCUUCCAUGGAAUCCGUUUCAAGUUCAAAUACAUUUUGUCUGAUAAAUUGACUACAUAUGGAGGGACUAAAGAGAGCAAUUAAGUAUGACAUCAAAUAAAUGACUCAGUGACAAGGUAUAUUCCAUUUAGGUCAGUGUAAUUCAGAAUGUGAGAAAACAUGAUUUAACUGGCUGGACUGAAGGAUGGUUUAAAUUAUGGGAUGGGGAGAAUCACUUUGCAUUCAGAGGUUUGGUAAUUGGAGGUGUAUAAUAUUUAUUGUGUUUGCUGUGGGAAGAUGCUGUUGAAAGACGGUUGUAGUUGUUUACGUGCAGCUGUUUAAUUGACAUUGUGGGGGUUUGGUCUAAUCUUUAUGCGUACUAUGAGUUGCUAUUUGGUAGAUGAGGGUGAGUGGGUGAUGUGUAGCUGAGGCCCACUAAACCAUGAUAAACCGAUGUGUUUUCUCUUUAGACAGUUAACUGGAUUAGAGAGGGGGCCUUCUGUAAUUGGUUGUGGUGUUCUGCCUAAUUCCUUACCACCUCCUUUUAGAAGUUUGUGUCCACCACUUUGCCAUGUGACUUUGUAGGACCUUCUGUGAGGUGAAGAACCAUUGCCACACUGAUACUGGGCAUGGCCAUGGGACUCAUGCUAGCCGGUAGACUUUGAGCCGACAUGAUGCCAGCAGAGGUGCUUUAGCUUGGCUUCUGGUGCUCAUACUGCCCUCUGUGAGAGAGUGUUCUAGGGAGCUGCUGGUCUGGAGCAGAAAUGAACCCACCUUGAAAUGUAGGGUUAAGUAGGCUGUGAUGGAUAACUUGUGAACUCAUAAGCAAGAAAAGUAAAUGUGGAUUAUUAUAAGCCACUGACUUUGGAGAUAGUUUGCUUGGCAGUAUAAUCAUGGAAAUAGUUUAUACAAGUGCAUAUUAAAAAUUCUUCUGUCUUUGUAAGAAUGUCAAUGGGAUGAACAAGCUCCUUUUACAUUCAGAUCCUUUUUUCCACCCUAUCAAGACAUGGAUGUCAUUCAUACCUUGGUGGUAUCCUUUGGCUAUGACGCACCUAAUUGACGGUGCCUGGGACACGUGUAAGUCCUAGCUGCAGGGGAGUUUGAGAGUGAAUUUCCAACUUCUACCUUGGGGAAGCAAGACUUAAAAAAAUGUGGAAAGUCAACAAAAUGUGGGAAGGGUGUUCAAAAGAUGCGAGGUUGUCAUAAAGCAUGAAAAAUGUCCAUAUAAAUUGCUAAUGCAUGUAUCUUAGAAUGAACUUUUAGUUACUAUUAAUUAGUAUAGUAAUUAAAAAAGGUAAUUUAUCCUAUUUUUUAAAAAAAUGAGUAUUAGUAUAAAAUAACAACAAUAAACCCAAUAGAAACUGUGAUCUUACGGGUAUUUAUUUUCAACUGGUACUUUAUUCAAAAUAUUCCCAAAAAGUAAAUAGCAAGUAAAUUUUUUCCCUUUGUAUCAAAAUCUUAUUGAUUUAGAUUCCAUUUACUCAAUAUUUGUGAUAAUAAACUUGACUAAGUUGGUUUAUCAGUUUCACAAUAUGGCAGUGUUUAUAACGCCAAGUUAAACUCUCAAACUUUAGCACCCUCUAAAGUUAUAGAUGGAAUAUAAAGUUAUAUUCCAUUAUAGAUGGUCCUCCUAAAUUCAACAUUCUCCAUUUCUUGUUAAGUUAAUAGCAUUGUUUGAUUUCCUUUAGGGUUUGACAGUCAUAAAUGUACCUCUAAAAGUCUUCUAUAUAAAUUCUUCAUUAAGUCAGAGACCCAAUUCCCCAUUUAGGUAAUAGGAAUAAAGUCUAGAACAUUUCAUUUGCUGCAGAGAAAAUUGUUAAAUGAACUAGUGUGAAAUAUCCCAUAUCCCUCUGUGCAUUUUGUAUAUUAAAUUAUAGCUCUUGCAUCCCUGUAGAGAAGAGCUGUCAAAUGUCAGAGUUUGUGUUAGAGAUACAAAUUUGUUGUGUGGAGCACAGCUUGAUUGAUGGACAGCAUGCUUGGAGUGUGCAUGUUUGUGGACUGAGUAGAGGGGCAGGGGGUGGUGUAGCAUAGGAGAGAAUAGAAUCUGGAGAGGUUGGAGCAGUCAGAUCAGGAAGCAGGAGGGCAGAGGGGGUUUCAGAGCAAUCAGAAACUAAUGGAUUAUAUACUGAAUGUGGUAAGAAGUGGCAAGUAUUUUUUUCUGGCCAGAGAAGUGAGAUUGAAAGAAAACAGUUAUUUUACUAGGCUGGCUAACCUGGAUCUGGUGAGCCAUUUUAACUUGCAUCAAUUUUUUAUCUACUAGUGUCAGUUUGAAGAUUUCUUAGGCCUGAAGGUGUCUUAGUUCAGGCUGCUAUAAUAAGAUACCAUAGACUGGGUAGUUGAAACAAUAUUCCUUACAGUUCUGGAAGUUGGGAAGACCAAGAUCUGGGUGCCAGCACAUCUGCUUCCUGGUUUGCCGAUGGUGUCUUCUCUUCUUAUCUUUAGUUGGGGUAGGGUAGCAGGGAGUUAAGGCAUGUGUGCACAAGGGAACUAUAGAAAUCUGUUCUCUUCUUAUAGGGAUACCAAUGCCAUUCGUGAGGGCCUCACCCUCACAAUCUGAUCACUCCCAAAGGCCCUACCUCCAAGUACCUAAGAUUAGAAGAUUAGGCUUUAACCUAUAAAUUUAGGGAGUACAUAAACAUUCAGUCUACAUAUUGAGUAUUGUUACAUUCCAAAGCAGAGGAUUUUAACUUUUGGUGAGCCAGGGAUGCUUUCAGAAGUUUGAAACGUUUGUCUGCUUUUUUUUUUUUUUUUAAUGUUUUUAAUUGCAUAAAACACAGUGGGUCAUGCUGAAAUACAAUAUAUUAAAAUAUAUAUAGUCUACCAGCUCAGGGGCAGAACUUGAAGAACUUGUGCUUAGCUAUUGUGCGGGGCCCUGGGUUUGAUUCCUUAGCACCACAAGCCAAAACAGAUAUCCCUAACAACUGCUUUGUGAUAGAAAAUGACCUCUGAUGUUUGUCAAUGUUAAGGGCACAGGUUCUGCUAAUACUUUAUCAAUACUUGGCAGAAGUGUUGAAGUUCAUUUAGAAGUGAGCAAAAACAAAGAUGCCCCCCUGUUCUCCAUCUGAAUUCAGGCAUACUCUCUGAAUUCUUUCUCACAAGCCCACCUUCAAGCCUGCAGCCCUCAGGGUAAGGACCACUGCUCUACAGGACUGACCAAAUGUCUCCUGAGCAGGUGAUCCUCUAUGGAAGGGGAUUCCCUCAGUUGUAAUGGUUGUGCACAAGUGUCUGUGUAAGUGUGAUUCUAGUACUGUGAUUUUCAUUGAUCAAACUAUCUGUGUCUCUGCCGGUCCUUCACUAUGGCUGUAUCAUACUCGGGCUACCCAGUCAGCAGUUCUUUCUCCUCUGUCUUCUCACACUUCAGGGAUUUAUAGCUUCUUUUUCUUCUUUGUUCUUCCAUAUAAAUUGCCAAAUUCUAAAAAACAAUCUGUUGGGAUUUUAUUUGGAGUUAUAUUGAGUGCAUAUAUCAAUUUGAGGAAGAACUGACAAGCUUUUUGAGUUUUUAAGUUCAUGAAGAUGGUAUAUAUUCUCAUUUAUUUUGGUGUUCAGGUACUGCUCAUUAAGAUGAAAACAUAUUUUGAAUGAUCAUCUUUGAAGGUCUCUUCUACGAAAACAAAAAACUUCCCCCCAAGUAAAGCCGAUUAUUCUUUUUUAACCUAGGUAAGUUGGGAGAAAUAGUGCUUUUGAGAAGAUUUUGAUGGCCUCAAGCAAUGAGUACUUAUUAUGCACACACUUCCCGAGAUUGCAAAUCUUCUGUUCAUUUGUAUUAAAGGCACCACUUUAGAAAAUUGGCCAUUUAUUUAAAUAAGAGAUAAACUAGAUUCUGGCAGCUUAAAAUUCUUAAAGCAUUUGCUGUAAUUUCAUAAAGAGAAUAUUUAGUAUGAAACAUCUGAGCAGUCUAAAUUUAAGCAGACAAUUUUAUUUAUUCAUUCAGAAAAUAUUUAUUGAGUAUCUAAUGUGCCCCAGGCAUGUCUCUAGAUUCUGGGAUGCAGCCAAGUGAAGAAAGUGAUUUAAGGGGGAUGAGGUUGUCUUCGCUAAAAUGCUUCUGAGAAGUUGAUGGCUGAGAAUUGCCCCUGGAUUUAGCAACAUGGAGUUCACUGGUGACUUUGCCAAGAGUGGUUUCCAUGGUGUGGUCGCACAAAAGUCUGCUUGGAAUGUGAUCAUCAAGGAAGUAAGAAGUCAAAGCUGUAAAUUCAGACAACUAUUGAAAUAGUUUUUGCUAUAAAGACCAACAGAGAGACAGCGUUUUGGGUGACAGAGUGUAAGGAGCAUCUGCCAUAAACAUGCUGAGACAUGCUGGGACUCACUAAGUUGCUAACCACAAGGAACAGUAGCCACUGGACUGCUUAGUCAUUUCUGCUUGCAGUUGAUAAGGAGCUGUAAGGGGCACUAGCCAUAGGUAUGCUUAGCAAUGACUGGUUACAGUUGAUAGGGAGCACAGCUCCGUGGACAUGGGCAAAGAACAUGUCCAGUUGCAAUUACUUCACCUCAAUGGACAUAACCAAUGGACAUUGACUUUUACUGGGUGUAACCAAUCACCAAUGUACACCACCAACUUGGAACUGUAUUUAAAUUGCUUGUCCUGCCAUAUUGAAGAGUUUUGCUCCAAGGACAUUGGUAGGACUGGCCACCUUGCUGUCUGUCCCUGGACUGACUGUACCAUUCCCUGACAUCCAGCCAUCUGCUGGAGAGAACCACCAGAUAAGGACAAUGUCUGCUCUUUGGCCAAGAGAAGUCACAUGGCGUCAGGGGGAUUUUGGGGCUCGUGUUUGCCCUAGGAUUGUGUGAUUUGCUUUUGGUGUUUAAUUAGUGUGCAUUGAAUGCUAGUUGGGGUGCUCCUGCAUACCCAACUCUUUUUGUAUUAAUUAUUUACAUUUGAUGAUUGGUGUGAUCGAAUAUAUGCUUGCAUUUAAAGACAAUCUGCCUCCAAGUAAUUAUUAAUAGUGUCGCUCGAGACACAUAAUAAGCUCACAGACUAAUGGCAAGGGUCCAUUAGAGGGAGGGGGCAAUUUGAUAAUGGAAGAAAGAGGUUAAUGUUUGGUGUGCUGUGCUUUACUGGACAGUUUCAGGAGGUAUUGGACUCAGUCCACAGUGGAGGAAUUGUCCUUAGGUAGGAACCAGGACAGUUUAUUCUUUGAGUCAGAGAGAAGGCAGAGGCCUAGUAAAAUUGUGUGUGUAUAUAAAUGAGGCUUUUUCUCCCUGAAUAUCCCCUUUCCAUGGUGAAAUAAAAAUUAUAUGGUUAUACUGUACAUUUGGAACAAUCUCAAAUAUGCACACAGCUAUGCAGGUAUUAGAAAUUCUCAGAGGGACAAGGAACUACCAUAUAGUACUGCCUCUGAUGGGGACCCCUCAUUUAGUAAUAGGACUACUUGUUGUUGUUCAUUUCCCCUUGUAGGGCCCAUUCUUCAUGCUUGUGAUGCCAACAGGUGCAGAAUAUGUAAAUAACCUGAAGGGAUGUGUAUUUAAACUUUCAGUUUUUGCAUAACUACUUUUAAAACAGCAAUAGUGGAAAUAAAAGUCCAAAAUUAUUUAGGGACCCAUCUUCUAAGGAUAUAGUGCAUCUAUGUUUUGAUUUUUCUUUUAAUAUGCAUAGAUGCUUUUUUCUUUUAAACAUCGUUUCCAUCGCAGCUCACACAUACCUUUGUAUUCAGUGGUACUUCCUGUCCUGCUUACUGGACGUUUGCCUUGGACCAGUACUUGUAGAUUGUGGAAUAUGUUUUGGAGAUGGAGUUUUAAAUUUUUUUUAUUGUCAUCAGACUUUUUUCAUGACUUAUGGACAUGUCUGAAUAACUGAACUGAGGACCAGGAUUCAAGGAGAAAUCUUGCUGAUUAUCCUGACAUUUAAUUAGCAGCUUAGAUGAGGUUUCAUGAUAAUAAAGUUAAUCCAUGCUUCGAUAUUUCUUGUGGGAGAUAACCUUAGUAGAGUAUUAAAGACUCUGAGUUUUAAAAAAAUACACUUUUUGAACAGAAUACUUUGCAGGUAAGUGUAGAAGGCUUGCCUUGCUUCCUUGCCUCCUAUACUUGGAGAUGGAUGCACUUGAGAUUGAAGACAUUUUGGAAAUGGGGAACAUUCUUCUCUUUCUCUCUCUCUCUCUCUCUCUCUCUCUCUCUCUCUCUCUAGUGCAUAAAAACCAAGGCUUCCUUUGGCAUGGUAAGGAAGGGAUGUGUUGAGCAAGUGCUUAGGAAUGAAUGGCAGGAGAUUUCCCAGGGCUUCUUUUAUACCCUUGUUAUGGUUGGGAUAUGGUUUGAGUGUGUCUCAAAGGUUUAUGCACCAUAUACUUGGUCCCCAAUGUGGUGGUAUUGAUGUGAUGGAGCCUUUAAGAUAUGGGUCUUUGAGGAGUGUGGUUAGGUCAUGGGUCUCCCUCCCUUGGAAGAGAUUCAUGCUGAUCUUGUAGAUAGGAUUAGUUCCUGUGAGAACGGAUUGUUAUAAGGGAGACAGGCAUCAGAAAGCCCUUAUGAGAGCCCAACUAGGGUUGGCUCCAUCCUCUUGGACCUCCAAACUGUGGGCUAAACAAACCUUUUUAUUUUGUAAGUUACUCUGCUUCAGGUAUUUGUGACAGCAAUACAAAACUAAGACACCCCUAGGAUGAAAAGGGGACCCCAGCUUAUAGAAUGCCUCUAGUUCUUCUCUUUUGUAGCUUAACAAAAUUUAAGUUCAGAUUUUUGUAGGGUAAAAACUUUCAUUGUCAAAACUUGAUGAAACAAGAAUACACUUCUUGGGUCAAAUGGAAAGUUUUUUUAAAAAAUUUUUGUAACAGUUUUCUUCUUUCUAGAAAUAAUAUUUUUUGUUCAAUAUUUUAUCUUGUUCUACAUGAAAAACAACAUUCCAGUUCACUAAAUUAUUUAGUUUUUUCCCCUGGACCUUUUCAAAGAAACUGACAACUAUAUUCUUCUGAUAGCAUAGAAACAAAUUUGUUAUUAGGUUGAAAUAAUAUCAGGGUGGUUUGGUUUAAAAUGAGGAUGGAAAUCAAUGAAGCUUACACAAGCUUGAUAUUAAAGUUUUACUAUGUGUUCUUUGUGUACCUGUUUUUAAUAUAAUCUUUUAGAAGUUUGAAGAGUUGUUUUUUUUUUAAACUAAACUUCUGUUGGAGUUUUGGAUGUUUGCCUGGAAAAUUUCAUUAUUAGAAAGUGCUCUUUCCCUUUCUUUAUAGGUUUUGAUUAAAAAUUAAUUAUUGAGUGAGCUGUUUAAUAUUUUUACCUUUUGAUAAACUACAUGGAUUUACAAAAUAGAUAAAUUAGAGUCAAUGACUUUCUCUUUAAGAAAGCAAUUGCUGUAGAAAAAUUUUAAAUCCCAGCUCCCUGAGGCAUUUAAAAUAGGACUUGAUUAACUAAGGUGCAACUCAGAGUCAACUGUAAGAAACCAGUGUUUCUUAGUGCCUGAUAUGUUCAAGCAUUUCCCCCUUGUUGUGUGUAUCACGUGUAGCUUUCCUCUGGAGUGUGUCAUGCACAAGGUAAGUGGAUAUGUCUCAUUAGUUCAUGGCUGGGCGGCUCAGUUAGCUUGGCCAUUAUAUUAAUGAGGCCAAGUUUGGGUUCUGUCCCUGGACAGGCCAAUUACUUUAAAUGUUCUCUUCCCCAUACGCAAUUCCACUGCAAAACUUAUUCAUUAUGAAUACCUGUGAAAAUUAUUUUGGACACAACUCUUUGCAAUUUGAGAACAACUAAUAAGUUUAUUGCUAUAGAGAACUGGAAGGAUGAAGGAUAGAGGAUUUCCAUGUUCAGUGUUACGGCUAACUAAGGAUUAAUCAGGAAGCUUCCUUUGCUUCACUGAUGAUUUUUAAGAAUAAUUUUAAAAUGAACCAAGUCAUAGUUGAAGUUCAGUGCAUACUUUUGUGUUAGCUUACUGAUUUUAGGUUUAUUUGAUGAUUAUUAUAAACUGCCUCAGGAUAAUUGUUUUCACCAUCUUUCUCUAGAUAUUUUAUGAAAAGGUCUCUAGAUAAUUUUAUAGAACAAGUCAUAAUGUCGUAAUGUUCUAUGAGACCCACAGAGAUUAACUAAUUUAAUUUUCUCACCUUCUAAGUAAGGAGACACACUCUUCAGAGAAGCUGCUAGGGUCUUGCCACUGGAUGUUUGGUUCAGUUCAAAGUUUGGAAUCGAGAGUUUUUUUUUUUUUUUUUUUCCCUCACCAAAUUGUCUACUCCCUGCUUCUGUUGCCCCAGAGCAGGGUCUUUGCCCACCCUAUUAUAUCACUCUCCAAUAUUACCAUUUUCUUUAUUGAAAUUAGCUUAUUGUCAAAACAUCAAAUGAGUGUUCCUAGGUCUUCCUGUGAUCCAUUUUAACACUAAGUUUAUUAUCCAUCUGCUGAAUCCAUGUAAAACAUGGCAUUGUUAGGAGAUGAUUGCCCUAAUAUCAGAAUAUAUCUAUUGUCCCUUUUCUCUUGGUUGCGGGGGCGGUUAUCAGGAAUUGCACUCAGGGGCACUUGACCACUGAGCCACAUCCCCAGCCUUAUUUUGUAUUUUAUUUAGAGAAAGGGUCGCACUGAGUUGCUUAGAGCCUUGCUUUUGCUGAGGCUGGCUUUGAACUCCUGCCUCAGCAUUCCAAACCGCUGAGAUUACAGGCAUGUGCCACCUGCCCCGCUUCUCUUUUCUCUUUAAUGGACAUUUCUAAACACAAAUAUCAUUGAAAUAUAAAAGUUCAAGUUGGUGAGAGAAAAACAAAAUUAGUGAGAAAAGAUUCUUUUUUUUUUUUUUUGAGGAGAAGGGGAUAGUAACUUUCAAAUACCUAUAUUGUGUUAAGGGAUGAAAAGAUAUAAAUGAGACACUUGUCAGAUCCUGUUAGGAAUUUGGCACAAUGGAGAAAAUAUCUUUCAACAGAAAUCUGAAAUCCGUAGGUAUAUACACCUAAAUCACAGUUAUCUUGUUUUCAAUCUUCUUAGGAAAUGAUUCCCUCCUCUGGAAAUAGUUUUAAAAUGACAUUCUGAUGAUAUUGCCAUUUAUUAUGAUUAAUAAGUAUGGUUAUCACUGGCAGCUUAAAUAGUAACAUCCCAGCAAAUUCUUGAAAACUACAUUUACAACUACAACAACAACAACAAAGACAAGAUACCCUUGCUAAAAUGGCUACUUCGCAUCAAUUUGUAUAGGAUCUGAUACUAGUAGUUUAUUUAUCUGUAUCUAUAUCUACCUAUGUAUCUAUUCAUUUAAUUUUACUUCUAUGCAGUAGUUUGUUGGGAACUCCUAUUUAAGGAUUUUUUUUUUAAAUGUUUAAACAGCAUUUCAUGAUUUUUUUUGUUUGGUGGGGGGGGUUCUGUAAGUAGAUGGUACAUUCUCAAGCUGUAUGCAAAUACUUUUCCAGUAUCCACUGGAAAGGAUUAUCUGAACUUCUUUUCUGUUAGUUUGGGUAAUUGAGCUUUGAUCACAAACAGCUGUGUUAUCUUAGCCCAGCAGAUGGAAGGUAUGAUACUGAGAGGAAAGUAAUCUGGAAGGCUCUAAAGCCCAUUUAGAUAUUUUAUAUGCAAACAAAAUGUAGAUGAGCACAUCAGGGCUAUUUUUGUUGUUGCUAGUGCCAGAAAUCUCAUUCAGGCUAGCAUUAGAGUUGUUGGCUCAGGUGUCUGAGGGGUCCGGGUAAAACUGGCUUCAGGACAGGCAGCCAAGCAGGGCUCAGAGGAUGUCACCAGGGCCCAGUUUCUCUCCAUCUCUCAAUUCUGUGUCUGCUGGGGUGGCCCUGUUUUCAGAUUGACUUACCUCCUGUGUUUAUAAGGUGGUUACCGUACCUUCAGCCAAAUAGUAGGUGACAGAUCUGCUGCACAGAGGCCCCCAGUAACAGAGUCACUGGGUCUCUCUCUCUCUCCCUGAUUGGAUGUUAUGUCAUGCCUGGUCCAAUCGUUGAGAUGGGGAUGCAGUACUCUGAUUGGCCAAUUCCAAGUUCUGUUAUUUCCCAUAGGCAAGAGAUGAGGAGAGCUCAGUUUACAAAAGGAAGUAAGCUGUUCCCAAAAGAAAGGGUGAUGGAUACUAGGUGCUUAAGGAAUGAAAAAUGCUAAUCAUAAUACACAAGAUAUUUUGUUUUCUACCUUAUAAAAUAAUCAUUCAAAAAUUUUGCAUUUCUUGUGACAUGCAAUAAGAUUCAUAAUAAUACUAGGAAGGGAGCCAAGAGAGUCAGAUAAACUCUUUUCCUAUAUUUGUGAAGUCAACAUCAAAAUGCUUAAAUGCUUUUUUUUUUUUUAAACAAAACAAAACAAAACAAAACAAAAAAACAAACCUGCCUUGCUGUUUAAAGCCACUUUAGACAGAAUGUCCCUCUGGUGGGAUGUAUCCUUCAAUCAGUAGGUCUGUUUUUUUUAACUUUGUGUUCUCUAGCCAGUGUUCCCUCUUAAAAAAAAAAAUUGAAACAUAAUAGUAAUACAUUAGUAGUUAAAACCAUAGUAGACAAAACCAUACUUGCAUGGAAUUUGAUUUCAGUUCCUGUUUUCUCCCUCCUCCUAUUCUCCUUCCUCUGCCUAUCUUCCUUUUUUCUUGUUUAUUUAUUUAUUUUUGAUGGGCUCUUUCUACAUAUACAUAAACAUAAAAUUCCCCAAUGGUGUAUUUAUAUAUAAAUAACAUGGUGUUGUUCAAUUCAUUCCAUAUUUCCUCCCCCUUCCUCAUACCCUCCUCCCUGUCUCUUAAUUUCCUGCUCCAUACCUUGAUCUUCCCUAUAUCUUUAUGAUAUCCCAUCCUCCCCAUUUUCUUUCCUUUAUUUUGCUCUAGCUAAAACCUAUAACCUUUGAUUUUUUUUUAAUCUUAGCCAGUGUUCUUAAGGGCUAACAAAGAUCGAGCUGGUACGUACAAAGUAAGACUGUUUUAUUUAUUUUUUGGCAAACACUGUAUAUGUCCCAGUACUUCUUGACUUACAAACUAGCUUAUAUUUGUUACUUCUUUGUUCUAAUAGGUAAGAAUUUAACGUUUUUCCAAGAUUGAUAAGAACGAUGCUCAAAACAAUCUGUUGAAGUCUCAGAGUUGCAUCCAACAAACUGUUUCAUUAAAGCUACUUCCUUAAAAUGCCACUUUAACACCCAGGUGACUUAAUUUGAUAAGGAGAUGUGGCACCAUAUUGCUCCCAGAGUUGCUCAGUUUUUACUUUUAUGAGUAGUUUCUUUGGUUACUGGUUACACUUUUUCAAACUUUUGAUAUCAUCAAGUAUCUCUUUGUGGUUUGUAGUAACCUUUUCUAGUUAUUUUAACUGAUUAAUGUCCCCUGAAGAGAAUAGAUGUGCUGACCAGUAACUUCAUACAAACAAGUUGUAUAUUCUUUGGGGUUUUACUGAUCUGUCUUAAUUUAGAAAAGUAAAAGGAUGUGGUGUUCUCAUUAGGGUAUUUAAGCCUGGAUGAGCCUUUCUUGGGAGUGGGAUUCAAAGGUCUCAAGCUGGGGGAGUGUCGGAAAAGCUGGAUAUUUAUGGUACGAUGAACUGAAAUCUAAUUUUGAGUCUGCCCUUUCAUUGGAGGGUUGCCUAGCUUAGUACGUAUUUCUUCUCCUAAUUUCUUCUGCAUUUCUGUAUUUCCAGAAGUGUUGGAAGCUUGAAGCAUUUAAACUGAAGAAAAACAGACUUAGGUUUCAUACCAUAUUUCAUUUUUUAUGUGAUAUAUUGCCUAAAACAUUCUUUUUUGGCAAACACCCUUUUUCUUAUUUGUUCCUGAGCAAACACCAGAGAGGGGCAGGGAGUUUCAGGAUGAGUUACACAUAAAAUCGAGGAUGGGUUUUUCCUUGCAUUGCUCUGCUGGAUUAGGAAAUGGAACUUCAUAACAUGACUUCGUGUAUCAGCGCAGACUGUAGUUGGCAGAGAACUUGGAAAGGUUCCAUUCUGAUGCCUUUGUUAUGUUUGCCUUUUAAGUUUCAAUGCUCACUGGAGCAGACAAACACCACUGAUUCCACAAUUUUUUUCACCCCUGGUGUGGAGCCUUUUGGUUGAUUUGAUCUCAGGCAGAAGAAUGGGAGCACCGAUUGGAUUUGGUAGAAUGAGUCUUUUAUGUUGCCGGACCUCCUCCCUUUCCUGUGGGCUAGCAGGCCAGCAGGCCUGGAGUGGCUCCCCCUUUCCUGUGGGCCCAGCUCUUUGUGUGAGCUGUUAUCCAUUUCCGUGGAUAUGGUUUGUUACCUCUAUUUGUACUAUAACUAGAAAUUUGAUAAGGUUAUGUGCCUGUCAAAUGAUUUAGAUGUCAGGUACAGAUGAAGCAAAGCAAUUUUGACAAGUCAAACAUUGGUGCAAAGGGGGUGGGGGCGGCGGGGAUGACCCGCUGGGAGAAGAAAGUAAAAUCUCUUACAGCCUCACUUUCUUUCUCUUUUAACUUUAGGUCACUACUUUAACCUCUUUAAUUUGUCCCUUCUUAAGUGAAUGUGACAUGGUGACUUCCGGCUUCUAUCUAAAGGGCAGGGAAAAGGAGGCCUGCCUUUGGAGGAGAGGCGCUGGCAUUUAGGAAGGUUUGACACUGGGUAUUCUGAUAAAAGCAUCCGGGCCUGGAAACUGUGUCUGUGACUGAAGCUGAGAUUAAGGUCUGAGGGGACAGGGUUUAUUAAUGCCAGUGUCUGUUCACAUGUGUGUCUUACAGAGAGUCUCGUAUAUUUGGUAAGCUCUGCUCCUUGAUUUUAGGAAUAGGUAGGGGCUUGGUGCUUUGUGGCACAUAUUUGGUUGGUAUCCUGUGUUUUUGUCCAGGCAGUGACUUGAUGAGUAUCAUUGAAUGACUUGUCUUGUUGUCCAUAGGAUGAGGAGUCAGUAGGGCCUCUUGAUUCAUUAGAUCUAAGUUUCUUAGAGCACCCCCAUCAACCCUUUUUUUUUUUUUUUGAAGUGAUUAAAUAACACCUCUGAGCUUUCCCAAUAUCUAAAUCUCUUUACAGCCCACACUAAAUAUAUAGAUUAGCUUUGGCUGCUAUCUCAGCAGAAAGUUCCUCAUUUUGCUGGUGAUGGGUUGGCCAGUAGUGGCCCUAGUAAAGGUUAAUGUGGCCACAAGAUGCUGCUGGAGUCUGAGGGGGACCUCUAGUCUUGGGUACUGCAUUUUGUGUAGUUCAGUAAUGGAUGUAGGUUUUUGAGCAUAACUUGUCUCAAUAUGGGUUUCAGUAUAGUCUGAAGGCACAAUUCAAAGAAAUAACAAAUUUACAUUCAGGGUAGUUUUGUUUGAGUUUAUUUAAAGAACUGAAACACACACAAUCCUCAUAAUAGCUUCUGCUAUUGAUAUAUUGAUGGUGCUGACAAAGAGAAAACUCAGACCAGAUGGUUUCCAAACAGUGGGACCACCUGGCUCAUUGGCAAUGCCAACUUACUCCUAUUUCUCAAAUAGCUGUAUUCUCCUAGAUGUCGAGAUGUCUGAGUGAGAUGUACAUGGGCUUAGAUACAGGAUUAGCAGCAGAGGUAGAAACACCAUGUUAACCUCAAACUGGCCCCUCUCUCCCACAUCUAUUAUCUACAAAGUACCAUUUUUUUUCUUCUUUUUCUUUUAACUAUGAAAUCUGCAUUACCAAGAAAAAUAAAAUCUCCUCUUGAGACGUUUAUUCUGGAAAGAAAAGAAAGGCUCUAAAUCCUUUUGGGAAACUGACUCAGAAAUUGAUUCAUCUGGACCCCGUUAGUAUCUUUUGAUGAAGGAUUCAUUUUAGGUCGGCAAGAGAAUAAUAUAAUUGCACCUGUAACACCAUAAAUUUAUACUGAAUCUCACAACUUGGCACUUAAUGUAAUAUAUUAACCAAUGUAUUAUGCAAUAGCUUUUCUAGUUAUAACAUUAAUGUAUCUAAUUUUCCUAUUGAAAAAUCAUAGUUUACAUAAAAGUAAAAAUAUUGAAUUAACCUACAUACUUUUUGAAGUUGGUGCCUUAAGAUUACAAUUAUUGUUAAGUUUCAUUUUAAAAUCAUUACCUUAGUAACUAACUCAUUUGAUGCAUAUCGAGUAUCUCAUUGGUAGUAUUUGUAACCAUUAAAGAUUCAAUGAUGAUUAAUGUAUGUAACAUGUAAGAACAGUUAAAAAUUAUUUACAAUCUUGAGUACACUGCUGUUUAAAAUUGAGUCUUUUUAAAGAAAUAAGGGAAUAUUUUCAUCAAAACUAGGUUUCAAUGUAAGUGACAAUCUUGGAUGUUUACAAGAUGAUUGAAUUGGCAUCUUGAAGCAUGAUAGGUUGGGAGAGAAACGACUGUAAGCAGAUCUGGGUUUGAAUUAUAGUCUUUGGGCCUCAGUUCCCUGUAUUAGUUGGAAUUCUUGGCUGUAAGUGAUUGGAAACCCAACCCUCAUUAACUCAAACUAAGUGGUAAUUCAUUUUGAGGAUAUUUGAAUACAAAAUCCCAGGGCAGGAAUGUGCCUGCUAGUUGAUACCAGGAUUUAAUUGACACAAGGCCUGAACUCUCUUUUUCUGGUAGAUGAGCUGCAUCUAACCCUCUGGGUUCUGUUGGUGGCAAGCAAUGGCUGUUGAUCAUUCCAAAGACUUGUAUCUUACACUUUAAGUUUCCAGAGGAAGAGUCUCACGGUACAUUUUAGGUCCCAAUCCCCAAGUCUCCCAGACAUCUUGACUUGAACUACUUCAGGCCAGAUGAUUACCUCUGGGCCAAUCCAUGGUGGUUAAGGAAGUGGGUCAUGUAAGAAAAUGGUGCUUCUUGGGAAAGAUUAGAUAGAUUGAGGGAGGGAUAGGAGGGAGGUGUGGGGUGGACCCAAUAAUAGAUUUCCUAUAUAUUUUUCAAUGUAAAAAAUGGCCAAAUAUCUCUUAUAAUAAGGGUGAUCUUGAAGAUGAAGCAAGAAGAUUUGUCAAGUACUUAGUACAAUGUCUGAUACCUUUAGGUCUUCAGUAAAUCAUAACUGCUAUAACAUAGCAGGGAAGAGACAUACCAGCAUCUCUUAAAACUGACACUAUAAUCAAUGUGAAGCUCUCAUUGUUAGCUUAAGAUGCCUGAGAAGCCAUAAUUCCUCACCUGAUUCUUCAGCGUUUCUAAUAUAUUCAUUUUAAUAGUUUCUCUCCCGUGGAAGAUCUGAAUUAGUAUUUUAUUUCUAGUUGUAACAUAGAUUUUUUUAAUAACCUGUAGAAAUUUCUGGGAGACUUAUAUUUUAGAUGAAAUUUUGUAUUAAGGAAAUAAUCUUUUCAAUUUUUUUGAUGAAAAUGACUUGCUGAGAUCCAUGGUUUUUUGUGUGUGGUGAAUGCUAUCAAUCAUAGAAGCUAUUUUAGUAUUGUUUGUAUAUACAUUAGUUAUAAUGUAUUUACUUUUAUAUUUGCCUUCUUUCUUUUUCAUUUUUGUUGUGUUACACAUUUUUUUUUUCCCCUUCAGUUUCGUAGAAGUGGAAGAGGUAUGUUUUCUUUUUGAAAAACAGUCGGUGUUUGUCUGGGUAAUGCCAUCACAGGUGUGGGAGAGCUGUUAGGAACAGUUUUAAUGACAUUAUCAAUCUGUUAAGGAGCAAGCAUAUGUAAGAAAAUUGAAGAAUCGUCUGUCACUUUCAUCUGCUAUGACACUUUGAGAUUAAGGACAGGUUAUUUUCAUUUUGUGACUGUUUUGGGUUAGUUUAGCUCUGUUUGUGUACAGUGCUGAUUUAUCCUUAUUUCUUUUCUUCAUAGUUGAGAUGUAGCUUCUUUUCUGAAUUACUAAUUUCCUAAUCAGUUGUUUCCUAGCUGGAAACUACUCAUUUCCUAAUACUUUAUAAUUCAAAAUAGGCACAUAAGAAUGUUCGCUGUUUUUCUGUCCUUAAUUUAACCUUACAUGAUACUUCUGAUUCAAAUAAUUUUAAUACAUUCUAGUCUGUGUAUGAAUUAAGCUAUUUAUAUUUAAAAGCCACACUCAUGUCAUAAGAUGUGAGAGGAGCUUUCUCUAAAGGAUUAGUGGUGAAGAGAACAUGUUUGUCCAGGAGUCAAAAUUCAUAGAUGUCUGAAUUAUUAAAUUCUAUUUGUGACAUUCUUGGUGAAAAAUAUGAAUUAAAUCUGUAUAAUGUAGGUAUGAUUUUUUUUGCUGUGAAUCAAUAUUUUCAUCAAUAUUGUAAUUUUGGCAGUGCUUUCUCCAGCCUGAUCUUCAUUAAUUGAAAUUUUAUAUAACCAUUGCCUUAAAAAAACUAUCUAAACAACAUUUUUUUGGUGAAGUAUAGUUUGUGUUAAUUUUUACUUUGGGUAAUUAUUUUUGUUACUUUCAUGGCACCAUAGGAUUCAUUACAAAUAAUGAAUUAGUUAAAAAUUUAAGAUGCAUCAGUCUUUGGAUAUCCUCUACUAAGAAAUAUUUAAUCAGUUCCACUUUCUUCUCUGCUUGUUUAUGGGGUACUCUUUCUAUCUUGUGUUCACUUUGAUAUUUUUCACUUUGCCACUUUUUUUUUUUCAUUGUCAGAUAAAGUGAAAGAUAAUGUCUGGGAAGUUUCCAGAGUGAUGAUGCCCCUCCUUAGCUUUGUGACUUCCUCUAAGUUCCUUUAUCUCUAAGAUGGGCCACAAUGCGUACCUGCCAGGAUUUAUGUCAAGAUACUAUUUGUAAAGAAAAUUUACAUUUUUAAAAAUUUCCUGUAUUUAUUUAUAUUCUAUUUUGAUCCAAAGAAGACGGAAGGAACUUCCAUCUGCAGAGAUGGCCUGGUGCCUGCAUGGGCUAGAGGCGUGUUCUCUAGGUAUUUGGUUACCAUGACUGAGGAAACUCACGCCUAAGGUAGUGGAGUGGUGAGCACUUCUUACACACCACCUGCUGGCCUUCCCAUCCUGGCUCUGCUCCACAAUAUGGAAAGCACUCAGUAUAGGGCCUGGAACCAAGUAGAUGCUUAAUAAAUGUCAGGCAUUAUAACCCUCAUCUGGUUUAAUCUCACAAAAGGCUAUAAAUGUUGCAUUACAUUUAUGCGUAUUUUGUACUUGAGAAAACUGAAGCUCAAAAAGAUUAUGUAACUUACCUAGGGUCACAAAGCUCAUAAGUGGUGAAACCAGAGCUCAAGAUGAAUUUGUCUGAUUCCUGAACCUGUGCUGUUAACCACUAAGUUACACUUGAGUGUCUUAGAUGUGAUUUUUUAAUUAUCUAAGCUGAUUGAGAAAUUAAUUAAAAUAUGCUUUCCUUGGUAGGUAGAAUAUUUGUUUAGAACAAAAUGUAGACCUCACUAUUUUUUUUUUAUGAAAGAACCCUAAAUCUGAUAAAAUUGGGUUGUGAAUACACAUGGAAACCUGACAAAUUUGUAAAUAUCACUAAGUACCUCUAUGAAUGUAAUGGAAGGCUAAUUUAAGGCUUAGAAAUCUAUGGAGAUUAUUUUUAAUGCUUUUUAAUUAUGUUUAAAAGGUAAUUAUAAUUUUAAUUUUAUUUAAUUAACCACAAAUUUAUAAAUUAUGAGACUAAUUUAGAAAAAAAGCAAAUUUACUUUUGAGCUAAUUUCCUUGACUUAAUAUUUGUUAAAAUUAACUUCACCUUAAAAAAAAAAGCCCUCAAUCAGAUUUUCCUUUGUAGCAUUUAGUUCUCAUCUAGUAUUGUGAGAUUAACCAAUUUUCUGCAUUUUAGACUUUAAAAAUACAAAACCUAAUAGUAAUCAAUCAUGAAAUCGUUAUCAAACCUUUAAUGUAUGCUUAGCACCAAGCAAAAAGCAGUGAGAUAGAAAGAAACAUAUGGUCCACAUUCUCUAGUAUCAGAAUCUAGUGAACUAUACAAGAAGGUACGUAAUUGAGCACUAAAUUUUACAGAUCAGACUUAAGAGUUUUGCAUGUAGUUUUAAAAUACUGUGACCCUCACAAUCGCCCCUUGAAAAAUAAUGUGCACUAUGUAUCAUGUCACGGGAGAUAAUGAAAUUGGUCAUUAAUUUCACUAUAUCAGAAAUGUAUGAAAUAAAAGCAGAAUAACACAAAUCAGUAAUAAAUGUGCCUGAAGAUUUUAAGCUUCCAUUAAACACAUUCCAGCAAGCUUCUGUGAGUCUGAAUCUCCUUCGCUGCUCUGCUUACCCUUCUGUCCCUGGGUACUUACUGCUCUGGCUCAUUGUGACCCACUCCAUGAAUCCCCUUGAACUUCUACUCCUCAUUCAUCUGUGUUUGGGAUUCCUUCUCUAAUAACCUUUCACACUCUUUUUAUUUUCCCCAACUUUUUGCUUCAAGUCCUUGUUUGCUGAUGUAAUUAAACAGCUUCAUUAAGAUACAGAAACAUAGAGUGACUGACUUAACUUUCUGCAAAUGGAUGUGUACUAAAUAGAUGAUUUGUCUUAGCUUACUGAAAAUAUCAGCUGAAUUUCUAAUUGCCAUGUCAUUGUCUAUUCUUCCACUCAUGAUUUUGUUUUUGACCUCUGGGUAGAAGAUAAAUGUAUGUAACUGUGUGUUGUACCUAUACAUAUAUGUACCUGCACACACCUGUCCAUGAGCACAUAUAUCCACACACAUGUAUCCACACAUAGAAUUUUAACGUGCACACAUGGAGUGUCAAUAUUCUACAGCAUCCAAUAUUUGAAAGAAAUACAUUUUUAACUUAGUUUUGAAGACAGACAGAUGGAGUUUUCUAUUGUGUGAAGUUCUUGCGUUUGACUUUGAGUGCAUUUUCACAGUGCCUUUAUUCAGCCUUGAAGGGAUAAGACUGUGGGAAAAUCAGACUGCAUUAGUUCCCAGGUAUAGCACUGUUUUAAUUAACUUUUUGUUGCUGUGACCAAAAUAUUGACAAGAACAACUGAGACGAGGGAAAAUGUCUUUGGGGUCCCCAGUUUCAGAGGUCUCUAACCAUAGAUGGCUGAUUGCAUUGCACUGGGCCCAAGGUGAGGCAGCGCAGCACAGGGGAGGGCCUAGUAGGGGAAAGCUGCUCAGAUCAUGGCAGGGUGAGGAAGCAGAGGGGGCUGCAGGAAAGAUGCAAUCUUCUAGGACAUGCCCCUAGUGACCCACCUCCUCCAGCCAUACCUGCUUGCCUACAUUUACCACCCAGUCCAUUCAAACCACGGUGGGCUGAUUAGGUUACAGCUCUCACAACCCAAUCACUUUACCUCUGAACAUUUCUGAAUUAGCAGGAGAUUUGGGGGAACAUUUCACCUCCAAACCAUAACAAGCAUACUCUCUCAGGUUGGCAUGCAUCUUAGUUCUGUCCUCUGUACUUCUGUGUUCUUCCUGUCCCUUUCUGACAGGAGUGUCAUGGGAAUUAGGGUCUUGAGGAUGGGCCCAAGAACUCUUGCUAUUUCCUGGCCCCAGGACUGUUUUACGAUGGAGGACAGCUGAGGAAGAAGAUCCGACAUUGCCUGCCUCUGGGUCUCCUGGCUUCAUAAUGUUCCCCCACUGGGCUUGCAGACAGCAGCCAGGGGGAGCCUGUUAAGACUCCAGUCAGCAUCUGGGAUGCUUCUCCAAUGACUUCCUGUCUUGGGGCAGGGGGUGGGGGUGGGUGGAGGUGGUGGGGGAAGCCAGUGUCCUCAGGGCCUGCACAUCCCAUGCUCACUCUCUGCCUUCCUUUUCUCCUCGCUUGGGAGUUUGCUGCAUCUGUACCCUCACCUUUAAAGCUCUCUCUGAACAUGUGUGUGCCUCCCCCAGGAUUAUUGCAAUGUCACCCUCUCUUUGGGGCCUUCUCUGGCCACCCUAGGAGGCCAGUGUUCCUCCCACUGUGCACCCCACUGUCUUGCAUUAUGUUUCUCUUAGCACUUUUCACUCACAGGCCAUUUUUUGGCUUAGUUGGAUCUUAUAUUUUUUUCAUCUCUCGUCCUGUAACAUAAGCUCUUUGAGGGCAUUGAGUGUAGACUGCUUUCUUUGUUGCAUGGUCCCCAUCCAUGGGACAGCACUUGGCCAUAUUGUAGGUGCCCAAUAAAUAGUUUUGAAAGUCAAAAAGGAUGGAAUCAAGGAACAUGUGAGGGGGAGAUUCCAGAGAAUGGCAUUCCUAGAAGACGGUUGUUGUUAUUCAUGGAAUCACUGUGAAUCACUUUCUAAGAGACCAGACAUGAUUCUUCCAUAUCCAAGGCUGAACACAGGGGAAGGAAAGUAUUAUUAUUAUUUUUUUUCCUGGCUUAAGAGGCAGGGAUUCCAAGGGAAGCUUAUAGAAGGCUUAAUAAAUAUUUACUAUGUUAAUGUUAAUUUUUAAAAGCAACAUGACUAGCAAUUUGUUUCAAAAUCUAUUUAGAGCUAUGAGUCUUAGCGGAAUGUUCUGGCCUUUACCCACUCUCCCCAGAAUCCCCCUUUCCACCAGAUGUUCCAGCCAAGUGGAGCCAUUUUCCAUUUCCUAAGUAUGAAUUUCCUCUCUUACUUGUAGAUCUGACAAGCAGUCCCUCCCUCUUGGCUUCAGAUCCUCCUCCUCUCUCUCUCUCUCUCUCUCUCUCUCUCUCUCCUUCUUUCUCUUUCUCUCCCUUCACUUUCAGAAACAUUUAUUGAGCAACUCUGAUGAGCCAAGGCUUUGUAGAUAGGGUGUCAGUGGGUGGGAGUAUGGAAAAGACAGCUGACUCCAAGGCUCCUAUCCCAUGUCAUAAAGAAAUGCUGGUGGGUUGGUACUGAGCACAUGAGGUUUGGUUAUGUACCACACCAUUGAAAAGGAAUAAAUAUCUUUUAGAAUGCUGUGAACCAUUUAUAGAGAUCAUUUUACACUUUUCAAAACUAGUCACUUAUCUAAGCAAGCCCAAAUCAAAGGAUUCUCAUGUGUCUCAUGAAUGUGGCAAGGAUUGCCAAAUGGUAGUCUGCUCCAAAUUGUGAUUCUAGAAUUGAAUGUGUUUUUUUCUUUUUUUCCUCUUUCUUUGCACAUUACUGUUUUAAAAGGUGAAACAGAUAUCAAAAAGAAUACGUGAUGGUGCUUUCUCUGAAACUGGCUUUAGGGAUGUUAAGAUUUGUCUGAUAGACUCUUCUUAUAUUUCCAUGUCUGCUGCCAUCACAGAGCUGGGUCCUUCUGAGAAACUGAGGCAAUGAAAAGACCCCCUCUUCAAACCCCAAUUCUUGCAAACAAGUCAGAAAUAUUUCAGACAUGUUGCUGAGAGUAACAGGAAUGAGUUUAUUACAGGGAUAGGAAAAGGAAAAGGGGACACUCUCAAGGGAGAGAGUGGGUCCUCUCAGAGAGGAGAGGGACAAUGUGCCUCUUCUGCAUUCUAGUUUUAUUGGGGAUCCCAGAGAAGUUUACAGAGAGUCCCACCCACAACCACCUCUUGACUUUUGACUGACAGCAGAGUGACAUCAGACUUUCAAAUCCCCACAGUCAUGGCAACUUUACGUUGCCUUGACCUAUGCCGACCAGUUCUAAUUGGAUUCUUAACCAUAUGUUCUUACAGAUUUAUAUGAUUAGGAGGAAUUAUCCUUAACUCCAGAUUUUCAGGAUCUAGUCACAAAAAGUCUCCUCCUUCAGGAUAACUUGGGUUCCUCUUAUCAACAUUAUUUGGGGCCUGCAUUUCUCUUGCAGUGUGACAGGUAGGUUGCUGAAGAACGUGUCAUAACCUGUCCACUUAGGCCAGGCAGGGUUGCAGGUAAAUUGCUUCUUGGAAAAGAAAGCAUGUGGGGCUCAGCAGUGUGGGCCCAUUUUAUAGAAUUAUUCCCUUAACCUCCUGUUCUCACCAUCCAUAUCUAUCUGUUCUCUAACACCGCCAGCACAAUCUUGUCAUCUUUCUUACUUUUAUUAUUUUAUGGCCCUGCACGCUGGUGCUUAUUACCAGUCAAGCUAAAUGGCUUCUCUGCUUAGUUAGGCAUAAAACUCUGAGAAAGUGCCAGUGUUUGUGUCUUCACACGUGGCGGGAGAUUGAAGGUUAGAGGGCUCAACUCAGCAUUUUCUCUGGAAUAAAAAUAUUGCAAUUUAUUGGACCUUUUAUUUAUGGGAAUAAAGUAAGUGUUUUAGUAUUUUAGUUGCGGAAGCUCAGUUCUUGUCCCCCGAUGCCAAUCUAAUGAUGAGGAUGUGAUUUUGACAAAAAGGAAAAAGCUUUCUUGCUUUGUUAGCAAAGGAGAAGCAUAGGGGACUCCUGUCCCAGAGGUUGUGAUUCUGCGCCUCAGGGGGAGCAGGGGGCUUUUAAAGAGGUGGUUCAAAGGUUACUUUCCACAUGUUCACUGUUGGAGUUGUAAUUCACUUGUUAAUUUGGAAGAUAGUCAUUUCUGAGAUCUUCUGGUGCCAUCCCCAAAGUCUGGAUUCAGGGAUAGAUAACUUGCCUAGAAUGGGGAAGAAAGAUAAUCUUGUUUUCCCCAAGAUCUAGGGGAGGAGAGAUUAGGGAGGGAGAGGGAAAGAGGAAGAAAAAGAAAUAUAUCCCUUAAUUAUGUAUUUAUUCUAAUUAGUUAUACAUGACAGCAGAAUGCAUUUCAAUUCAUAGUACACAAAUGGACCACAAUGUUUCAUGUCUCUGGUUGUGUCAUCAUACACAUACCUAGGGUAAUGAUGUCAUCUCAUUCCACCAUCUUUUCUACAUGUCCCUUUUAAAAAUAGGUUGCUGUGGCAGAGCAGCAAGGGCUAUAUUCAAGGCAUAAAGUGGACUACCGUUACAAAUUGAGUAUUUAAGUACAGAUGUGCUCAACAAAAAAAGUUGCUCCAUGAUCUCCUAAGUGAACUUUUCAAACUUAUACAGAAUCUUCACUUACAGAAUCUCGUUUUUUUAUAAGUUGCUUUAUUAUUAUUAUUAGUUUUUUUAGUUGCAGAUGGACACAGUUCAUUUAUUUUAUUUAUUUAUGUGGUGCUGAGGAUCUAACCCAGGGCCCCACGCAUGCAGGCAAGGGCUCUACCACUGAGCCAUAACCCCGGCCCCAUAAGUUUACUUUUGAGUGUCAGUUUGAGCCCUGUAAUUCUGAACUUAAAAGGGGGAUUCUUUUGCCAUCAAAAUCUGUUUCCAUACUUCUUGAUAUUUAGGCUUAAGAAAAUAAGAACAAAGUGAUACGACUGUCUCAGUCAUUAACAGGCACAAUAUUUAGCUGUUAUGCUAGUAACAUGAGAUGGGACCCAGUAGGAUGAAGCAAUGACCGUCCCAGUAAAUUUCAGUAAAAUUCGACCUUACUGUGCUGUUACUAGGAAGAAAGUGGAUCAAAACACUGGGAAGAAAAUCAUAGGUACCUCGGCAUACACUCUGCCAAGGGCAUGUGUUAGAGGCUUCUUAAGUCCCGAGGUGUGGCUUAUUUUAUAAAUAUUUUCAUAAGAAUUAUGUACUCGCCAUCUGGCGGUGUGGCUUUGUGUAAUAGUGUCCAUAUGCUUUGCCUUAUGAGCUAGAGUGAGAAGAACUUAGGUACAGGACUGUUGAUUUUGUUUGUGUCCCUUCUUCAGAGAGCAGUUCAAGCUCAGGACAAUGCUUCGUCAUUGACAAGACAGGCCCUGCGGGGAGAAGAUUUAACUUUGUUUUUCCCACUUUUCCUCUUCUUUAGUAGCAGUAAUAGUGUUAAUAUUGAGGAUGAUGAUAACUAUUACAAAGUACUUACCUUUUCCCAUCAGCCACGUACAUGCGUGGAAUCAUUUGAUUCUACCCCUACAACCAAUUAUAUCACUUCUGUUGUUGUCACCGUUUGACAGAUGAGACCACUAAGGCCCAGAAUGAUGAAGUAACUUGCCUGAGAUUGCACAGAUAGGAGGUGGAGUUGCUGGGUCAUAAACCAGGUGGCCUGGCUAUGUGCUGCUAAGUUUCAGGGUCCCUCUUGCUGAGAUCUGUGAUUGUGGGCAUUGCUUCCAAUCCUAGCAUGUUUUUGGGCUCUUGCUGGAUGGGAUUUGUGAUUCAUCAUCUAUUUACUUUUCUUUUUCCAUUUUUCUCCCCUUUUAUUUUCCUCCUCCUUCUUAGGUCAAGUACAAAAGAGAUUUUGAAGAAAGCAAAGGGAGGGGCUUCAGCAUCGUGACAGACACUCCGGAAUUGCAGCGGCUGAAGAGGACGCAGGAACAAAUCAGUAAUGUAGGUGCCUGUGGCUUAGUGACUUGGCAGCACUAGAAUGUGUUUGUGGAGGGCAGCGUGAGUCUGGGUGUCUUGGAGGAGUGUAUGUAGCUGUGGUGUGCGAGGAACAGAGUCCUCAAACAACUGCGCCUGUGAGAUCCCUUCCCUCCGACUUCACUGCCAUCUAGAGCCUAUCAGUUACUGUCAUAUAGUAUCUUACUACACUUUAAAUAGUUCUCAGCUUUUGAAUCUUUCCAAAAUAGGAUUUUUAUAACUAAGUUAAAAAAAGUUUUUUCUUCCUUGUGGCUAAACAUGCAGAAUAUAUAUUAAAGGUUAAGUAUCUUGAAGAAUCUUACGUUUGCUAAUUACAUGUAUGAAUAGCUUAAUACUUUAAAUUAGAUAUGUGUUGAAUCAUGCAUUCUAUCUAAUUUUGGAGAUAAACAUUUGUAUAUAUAGUUACUCUGGACUCGAAAGCUGCAUCUUGUUUGGUACUAUGUUUUCCUUUAAAAAGAAAAUUGGGACUUGCAGAAGUUUAAAACAUAUUAGAGACAGGAAAAUGUUGGUUUAGUACUUAUUAAAGAUGGCUAAAUGAUUCAUUCUUAAUUUUUUGUAACUCAUAUGUGUGAUUGUUUCUUCCAAAGUACUGUAUGAAAUGUACCAAAAUGUAUUUUUUCUACAAAAUUAUUUCAGUGAUAGAUAUCCAAGAGGAAAUAUGAAUGAAAAUCAAUAGCUGCGUGAUAAAAUUAGAAGCAAACAUGCAAAACUCAUACCGCUUUUCAUGAGAAGUGGAUUUUGUGUGUCACAUGUACAGAUUUGAGAAAAAAAUUUUAAUUGUCCAAAGUUCAAAAACAAAAUAUUUGAUUUCUAAAAAAAAUGUAUUUAGGGAGUGGGAGGAGGAACAGCACACAGUUUGUUUUCAAAUCAUAUACCCUAAGGUUUACCCAUUGUUUGGUCUUUAAAUGGGCAUUUUAUAUUAGUAAGGGCUUUUUCCUUUGAAUAGAAAGAGUUGAAUUUUAAAGACUCAUGACAUUUGUCGCUUAGUUUUCCUACUGCAUUCCAACAACCUGCCAAUCAUGAACAGUGAAGACCACUCUUCUCAUUUUCCUUCUCCUUUAUUCUUUCCUUAAAAAUCCACUUUUGCUUUUAAAAAUGCAAAUCAGAGACACAUUCCACAAGCAGUGACAUUCAGUAGCAUUUCUUUCUUUUGAUAAUUUUUGGAAAUUAAAAAAAAUAAAAGCAAUGCUGUAAAAAGCAAAGUUGUAUCGUAAGUCUUCAACUAUCAUAGAAAUUUAUUUCAAAAAGAAUCCAACAUUUCUACUCAAGACAUCUACAUG
This 51959-nucleotide long non-coding RNA is filed under the name Marmota monax (woodchuck). Lineage: Eukaryota; Metazoa; Chordata; Mammalia; Rodentia; Sciuridae. The record is from RNAcentral.